UGGCGGCGAACGUGGGGCUCGAGGCUGGGGUUUCCCCGCUGGCCCCGUGCUUCGAGCUGAAGACGGCGUCCUCCUCUGCUCCUAGGUGCACCUCGUCCUUCUUGCCUGCUGUUGGGUGGGACGAUGGGGGCGUGGGUUCUGGACUGGGGGAAGCUCCUGGCCGGCGUCGGCGGCCACGAUGUCGGCAAUGCUCCGGGCAUUGCUACCCUUCCUGAAGGCGACAUCGUGAUCCUCUCCCUCGCCCUCCACCUCCGUGACCCAGGUGAAAGCCCAAAAUCUCCUGGUUUGGGCGGCGGCGGCGUUCCAGCGCCGUCUUCUUCCUGAAGACGCCGCCUUGGGUCGGUGGAGGUGGUGGUGUGAGCUUCUGAGCAUGUGGGUCGUCGAUUAUCUUCAGUGGUGUCCUCGUUCAAUGGCUUGCAGCAGGCUCCAUACUCUUUGUCGGAGAUGAUGUGAUGGUGGAGGAAUUGGUCUGCUUGAUGGGGUCGCCGUACUUGUCGUCCUUCCCGACCAUCGUCUGGACCGGCUAUGCGUGCUCAGGGGUGAGCAGCUCUGCCUACCGACGGCGUGGCGUCCUACGGCCCAGGACGAGAGGGCAGGGGGCCUUCUUUGGAGGCGGAGGCGGAUGGCGGUUCUGCAGUGAUGGUGCACGGAAGGUGACAGUGUGGUCGUCCUCCGACGGUGACUAGUCUCCUUGGCUUCACCUUAUCAAUGGCAGGAUGUGGAGCUUGCUGAGGGCUUCGAUGCUCAAGCCUUUGCUUGGUGCAUUUGAAUCCCGUUAGUCGUUCUGUAGCAUUGUGUAUCUUUGCCGUUUUUCCUUUUCCUUUCUUUUGUUGUUUGCUCGGAUGUAUUGUGGUGGUGAUUGCUUUAUAAUAUAAAGCGGGGGGAAACCCUUUUUCGGUAAUUCCAGGUGGUACUGGAGGUCCUAGUACUAGCACCGCACCAUUGCUACCAAGAGUGCUUGAUGGUAAAUCAAACUUGAAAAAUAAUUAUGCUUAUGCUCGAUUAGAGACAAAUUAAGUCAUUUAUCUUUCUUGCACUUGUGAACAGGACUGUUUGGAGGUAGGUCAUCAUUUAGUGGAACACCAUGGAACAGGGUGCGCCAUAAUAUUAGAGAACCUCAGAGCACACUUGUGUUAAACCAUGUGCCUAUUAGGUUAGCCCCUGUGAACCUACCUGUAGCAAGGCCAGAACUAGUAGAAGAGCAAAAUAUCAAAGGCACAGGAACUGUACAGCAAACCAAUGGGAGUGCUUUUUCAAGUUAUGGAGGUAAAAUGAUGGGGCUAACCUAACAUGUUUAAGGAAGAAAAUAUGAUAAAUAUAAACUAAUGUGUGUUGGCUUUCCUUGUUGGGUGUGAGCGAUGUUCUUGCUUCUAAGAAGAGUGAUAGAAAGGAUGAUUCAGGAGAUAAUGCUGGGAAGGAGGCUACAACAAGCGCCGGGCAGAGCACUUUAACAAAGAGACCAAGAGAGGAAAAUUCAAGGGAUGAUCGUGGUAAGGAGGCUGCAAUAGAUGAUGCACAACUGUUUGAUAAUAGAGGUAAUCAUGAACUUCUGAAUUGACGGCGUGAAAAUGUAGUAUGAGGAUGUAUGCACUGAAGUUUUUCUAUUAUUAUUGUUAGAUGGCGUUCAAAAUGCAAUUGACAUUGCCGGCUGCAGUGAUAUUAGUGUUAAUGCUUCUCCAAAGAGACCACAUGCUGAUAUUGAAACAAAGUCUGGUGGCAAGGAGCUUAUAGUUUACACAGCAACAAGAUGUGAGUGGUUCUUAUUCUUACAUUUAGAUACUUAAUUGUGCAAAAAACUAGCUUCUUACAACCUGUAACACUGAUAUACAGGUAGACGUGCUAGAUUAGAACCGAACUACUUGAUGAGGGAGAGACAUGUUCACUCAGAUUUGCCUCUAGCGGAAAACCCUUUCCACUACAACAAAAGGAUAGAAUUCCCUAGUCGCAGGACAGCAAAAGAAUUAUAUGAUAGAUUGUUGUUCUCUGACUCAACCACAACAAAAAAGUAAGGGGUGGUGGUGAAAUAGAUAUUAUUUCUUUUUGGUCAGAACUAAGAUUAUUACUGAGAUUUUUAUCUUGUUAUCCAGGCUAUGGUUUGUUCACACUAUACCAACACUGCUCAAAAUUAGUGGAUCGGAGCUCAUUGAAUGUUUCCAAGAGUUUGGCCUAUUUACAAGACUUACAAGUGUAUUAGAAGGACGCUGGAUGAAAAUGAACGCGGAUGGUAUGGAAUAGAAGAGCGCAGAAGGUGGCGCAAAAUACUUCCCAAGGAAUGGGUGGUAAGUUUGCAUUUUUUAGAAGUUUAUAACCUGGCAUCCCAUGAGUAAGACUUAAAAGGCUCAUACACAGACUAUGGUGCUGGGUGGUGGACAUUACAUCAAGAAUCCAAAGAUGAGACAGAUGUUUGCUGGUGGUCUGCAUGAUUAUGCCUUGGACACUUGCCAACUGGUAUAUAUGAUUUGCAUUCCUAUUUUGUUGUUGCACAAAAUGGUAUAGUAUUUUUUUAGAAUUAACUGGAUGAGCAUUCUAUUUGCAUAUUUGGGUGAUCCAUGAAACAAAUGAAGGGUAUUGCAUCAUGUAUGCAUUUGAUAUGGACCUUGAAAUUCUGCAUGUAUUUGACCCCAAACGUACGUGCGCCGGCAUACGCAUACUCGAAAGGCUACAUCAGGCAAACUGUGAAAUAUUGCUGGAUGGACUUCUAAAAUGUGUUGAAGCUUUCUUUGAAGGCUGGGAACAGGAUAGAUCAAGAUGGAAAUUCAAAUUCCAUGACUAUGUUAAUAGUCCUUGCCGCACGUAAGAACUAAAACGAAAUCAAAAACUUUGUAUCUCGACUAGAAAAAAACAUGUUUUACUCUGUUUGCUAGUUAAUUUGGUUCUUUAUAUUUGCAGAGAGGACACACCGGUCUAUGAUUUUCACUACAUUCUAUCGUUUGAUGGGAUGCAUGUACAAGGGACAAUUGACACGGUAUGGUGUUAUGGUUAACUUUUGGUAUUUGAUGCUUCCCCCUUUGUAUUUGUGUUAGCAUGUUUGACCUAUGUUCUUUUUUUAACAGGAAAGUGUCGAUCAUCUAAGGAAGAAACUGAUGUACCUGGUGCUGAGGAUGGAAAGUAAUCUCGGUUAUCUCGAUCCAAACAGCGAGGAGGACUGAUGAAGAAUUUUCAGCAGUACAAUCAGGAUGAUUCUGUUAAAAGCAUGGGUCAUCUACAUGCAAGGGAAAUGCCAAGCAAUAUGGAUUAAUAUUAGCUAUGUAAUGUAAUGUACCGAACCGAAUUUAGCUUUCGUAUCCUAUCUACAAUAACCUUUGUGAGAAAUUAAGGCUAUUAUAUUAGCCAUGUAAUGUAAUGUAAUGUAAUGAAAUGAUCAGAACUACCUUCCCUAACUAGCAGAACCUUUGGAUAAAAAUUAAGGCAAGUGUAUUAUUAGCAAUGUACUAUAAUGUUAUCUAGCAGCAAAUCUCCAUUUGGAGUGAUGGAGUGGUGCAUGGUUUUAUGAUAGGGUCAAAUCAAUUCACAUCAUUCUUUUCGUUCAGCAAAAAAAAUUGUAAUUGAAAGACCUACUCAGCAUAAACAGAAUUGCUUGAUCUUUAUUCACCAAGAUACAAAGAAGAAUGUGCAUUCAUAAAUAAAUACAAUUUGGAGUGGAAAUCAAAAUUAGAUUCAAUUUUCAUCAAAACAUUUGGUUGUUUACUUGGCGGACUAACUUACGUUUUUUAAAUCCAGUCUGAGGCUGAGUUUGGAUUUUGGAAGGAGAAGUUUAUCAAUAUAUUUAGUUGAUGAUUGAUUGUAUCUAUAAGCGAUAGGGAAAGCAUCAAGAAGAUAAUUUUGUAUGUGCCGUACAUCCAUAAAAUUAUAAUCCAGACAGAAUAUGAUAUGGCAUGAGAUAAAAAAAGAGGAAAGUGCAUUACAAAUUUUAUUAAACGGACUUCAUAGUACAUCCUUCCUUAUAAUUAAACGUGAACACAAAUCUCAAGUGGACUACAUUUUUUAGUUGCUUUAGUUGCUGACUAGUGCUUCCUGAAGAGGUUGUGGUAGGUUUGAAAUUUUCUCCUUGAUGAUGAGGAUUUGUUUAAGAAGGAAUCCUCUCUCUCUAUUUAUUGAAUCCUGGAAAAUUAAAGUUAAUUUUAGAAGGUGGUGUUAGGUUUUUGAGUGUAAACGAUGAAAAACUAGAAGUAGUGAUUGAUGACCAUACAUGAGUCAUAAUCUCUUCGAGAGAUGUCCCGUUAAAAUGUCUGGCAGUGUGAAUAGCGCAGGCGCUGGAUUCAUUCCUAGAUGACAUUAGGAUAACAGGAUUAGAGGAUAUCGAGAACUUGCUAAGUUAGUGUAAAGAUGGACGAUGGACUGGAAAACUUACUUUGGAAAUAUAGAAGUUGUCAGAAAAGCGAAUUUCUUCUUCCAAUUUGCACAAUCAACAUGCCAUUUAAAAAAAUCAGUAUGCAGGCAAAUAGGGCAACAUGUAGUUUGUCAGCAACAACUUCAAGCUUCUUCUUCAAUUGGCUAGUCAAUCCAGAUGUAGGAUCGAGGAUGAAAAUUGUUUUUGAUACCAUAUCCCAUGUGAAAACGACCCAUCCUGAUUCCAGUAUAGCUGGGAUGUGCCACUGCAAAAGUUCACAUUACUAAAUAUUAGAAAAUGAAGUGUUUUGGGUGUUCAUUGAAAGGGGAUAUUUAAAAAUUUCAUUACCGGUCUGCAUUGAGAUAUGUUGUAAGGAACAAGUUUCCAAAAAACUGGUCUUGGACUGAUUUCAAGAGCCAUGCCUUCUCACUAGCUAACACACUAGUCUGCAUUUUGUCGAAAGAAGAAUCAUUAGUACAGUUGUUACUAAUGCACUUAGAAAUUAGUUGAUAGCUAGAUAAACAAAAUCAUAGGAGAUAUAUGACUUUGAAAUCACUUACAGCAAAAGAAAUGUCGGCAUGGUCCAGAAUUGUUUGGAUAAAGGAAUUCUUGAUCAAUCUGACGAACGCGGCGAAUUAACAACGAGAACAAUUCGUGGUCUAUUAAAUCAGUACCAACCAGUUGGUCUGCAAUUGUCUCGCAUGUCAGCGUUAUGAACCUAGGGCAGGUGUGUGUGAGACUGAAUCUGUGUGAACAAAGAAAUAAUACAUGAUUCUUCUUGAUCAACACGCGUAGGAGGGUAGAUAGCGUCCGGUUCGUGACCUCCGGUUGGCCGUCGGUUUGAGGAUGGUAUGCCUAAGAGAACAAAAGCUUGAUUCCGAGCUUGGCGCAUAGAGUCUUCCAAAAGUAACUUAGGAACUUGACAUCGUGGUCCGAGACAAUCGUCUUUGGCACUCCAUGUAGGCGCAAUAUUUCCUUACAAAAAAGAUUUGCAACAUGUGAAGCAUCGUCUAUCUUGUUGCAUGAAAUGAAAUGAGCCAUUUUAGACAGUCGGUCCACAAUAACAAACAUGGAAUGUUUGCCAUUUCUAGUUCUAGGCAAACCAAGCACAAAGUCCAUACUAAUAUCUUCCCAUGGGUGAUACGGAAUAGGAAGUGGCAUAUAGAGGCCAUGGGAUUGAGCUUUUGACUUAGCUUUGCGGCAUGUAGAGCAUAGGUUGGUGAAACAUGAGACGUCGUGGAACAUCUUGGGCCAAAAGUAGUUCUUGGAGAGUGUGGCAAAUGUCUUGUCACAUCCGAAGUGUCCCAUAAGUCCUCCUCCAUGAGAUUCUUGCAAACAUAACAAACUAAGAGAAGACUCGGGGAUACAUAGUUUGUUCGCUCUCAUAAGAUAAUCAUCUUUGAUGUAAUAGCGUUCCCAAGAUGUAUGCGUCAAACAUUUGGCAUAUGGAAUAGCAAAAGUAGGAUCAUGCGCAUACAAGUCUUUUAUGUGCUCAAAGCCAAUGACAUUCAAUUCAAGUUUGGUAAUAAGCAUGCAUCUACGGGAAAGAACAUUCGCCACAACAUUUUCCUUACCUUUGAUGUACUUGAUGUCAUAAGUAAAAGACUCAAUGAAUUCACUCCACUUAGCAUGACACUUGUUGAACUUAGUUUGACCCUUAAGAUAUUUAAGUGUUUCAUGAUCGGUGUGGAGAAUGAACUCAUGAGGGCAGAGAUAAUGCUCCCAAACAUGCAAGACUCGAACUAAAGCAUACAGCUCUUUGUUAUAGAUGGGAUAGUUAAGUUGCGCUCCAGAAAGUUUUUCACUAAAGUAAGUUAUGGGGCGCUUCUCUUUCAUUAACACACCUCCUAUGCCAUAACCGCUAGCAUUGCAAUGUAUUUCAAAUGUCUUAUCGAAGUUGGGUAAUGCAAGCAAAGGAGCAUGUGUAAGCAAAUUCUUAAGCUCAUUAAAUGCAGUAUCUUGGGAUGGUCUCCAAAUAAAUGGUGCAAUUUUUCUUACUAAAGUCCUUAACGAAUCUACGAUAGAAGCCGGCUAAGCCAAGGAAACUUCGCACUUGUUGCAAGUUGGUUGGUUGAGGCCAAGUUUUAAUAGCAUUGAUAUUAGAUUCAUCUACAUGAACACCCUUAGAAUACACAAUGAAACCCAAGAAAACGAGCUUAUCAACAUCAAAAAGGCAUUUGUCCAUAUUAACAUAGAGGCGCUCUUUUCUAAGAGUUUGCAAAAUGAUUCUAAGAUGGGUGACAUGAUCUUUGAGGGAUUCGCCAAACACAAGAAUAUCGUCGAAAUAGACCACAACAAAUACACCAAUGUAAGGGCGAAGAACAAAAUGCAUCACACGCAUAAAGGUGUCGGGUGCUUCAGAUAAACCCAUUGGCAUGACCAACCAUUCAUACAAGCCAAACUUGGUUUUGAAAGCGGUUUUCCAUUCAUCACCUUCUUGGAUGCGUAUUUGACAGUAGCCACUUUUAAGAUCAAUUUUAGAGAAAAUUGUGGCUCCGAUAAGCUCAUCUAGCAUGUCGUCUAAGCGUGGAAUGGGGUAGCGAUAUCUAACCGUGAUAGCAUUGAUAGGACGACAAUCGAACACAUGCGAUAUGUACCAUCUUUCUUGGGAACAAGGAUUACGGGACGGCACAUUGUCUCAAACUUUCUCGUACAUGGCCAUUGUUGAUAAGUUGUUGUACUUGCUGUUGGAUCUCCUUGGUUUCCUCGGGGUUGACGCGGUAGGGAGCCUUGUUAGGAAGAGGUGCUCCGGGGAUGAGGUCGAUUUGGUGUUCGAUGCCUCGUAGUGGAGGUAGACCCAGAGGUAGCUCGUCGGGGAAUACAUCUUGGAAUUCCUGCAGUAGAGAAGAUAACACUAAAGGUAGAUUGUGCAAGGUGUUAGUUUUUGUCGCCUCGUCCUUGCACAAAAGGACAUAGUGCAUAACACUUGAUGGGUUCUCACACACUUCUCUCAUCUCACUUUUGCUAGCGAAUAGCACUAGGUUUUUCUCGUCACUCAUUGUGGAGGUACUCAAUUUGGGCUUGUGGUGCUUACUCUCUUUGUGGUGGUUCACUCUCUCUCUAUUUUCUCCAUGAUUGUGUGUUGCUUGCUUGUCGGCGAUCACUUGGCUUGGAGACAUAGGUCAUAGCACGUACUCCUUCCCUUUCAUUUUGAGGCUAUAGUGGUUGGUUCGCCCGUUGUGGAUGACGCCGCAGUCAAAUUGCCAUGGUCGUCCAAGUAGGAGGUGGCAAACAGACAUAGGAACAACAUCACACUCCAAAGUGUCUUCGUAUGCUCCAACUUUGAAGGAGACUUGGACCAUGUAUUCCACUUCAAUUGUGUCGGGGUCGCUAAGCCAUUGGACCUUGUAGGGAUGAGGGUGAUUCGUCUUGACCAAUUGGAGCUUGGAGCAUAGUUAUUCACUUGCCAAUUUAUGGAAACUUCCUCCAUUGAUGAUGACCUUCAAGGACCUUCCAUUGAUGCCCACCUUGGUGUGGAAGAUAUGACAUCUUUGGUCUUCAUCUUGUUGAUGUUUAAGAGUCAAGACCUUGGAGACAACUAGAGCGAGGCUCGAAUCUUUGUCACAAAAGACUUGGUCAUCUUCAUCUUCAUUCACUUGCCGGUGCAUAGCCACAUUCUCAAGGGCUUCCAUUUCGCCUUCAUUUAUGGAGUCGUAUGUAUCGUCAUCGUUGAGAAUCAUGGUACGCUUGUUGGUACACUCAAAGGACUUGUGGCCUCGGCCACCGCAUGUGAAGCAUUUGAUGGAACUUGUCUUGAGGAUCUCAUCUGGUGGAGUUGUAGAUGAUGAACCUCUCGGCUUGAAGUUGCUUGUAGUAGAAGGACGACUUGAGGUUGUCGAAGUUUUCUUAUAACUUGACUUGUCGUCGUUGCUUGUAGAAGGUUUGGUUGAGGUAGAAGGUGUUGUAGUCAUUGAAGCUUGAUUGUAUGCGCCAUAUGUAUUGGAAGAGUAGUUGGCAUAUUUGUAGUCAUCUUGCACUUGUUGCUCCGCUUUAGUAGCUUGAAGCACUAGCUCAAUGAGGUUUGAAUAAGGUUGGAAGUCGGUGAUCUUCUUUAUAGGGUGCUUGAGUCCAUUCAAGAAGCGUGCCGUAGUUUGCUCAUCAUCUUCUGUGGCAUUAGCUCGUAUCAUGGCGAUCUCCAUUUCCUUGUAGUACUCUUCAACAGUCUUUGUUCCUUUCUUGAGGAGUUGUAGUCACUUGAAGAGGUUGCGGUUAUAGUAUGUUGGCACAAAGCACGCUCGCAUGACAUCCUUCAUUUGAUCCCAAGUUGUUAUUGGUGGUUCACCUCUUAAUUCUCGAUGCUCAAUGACUUGUUCCCACCAUAUGAGGACAUAAUCUUGGAAUUCAAGGGAUGCCAGGCGAUCUUCUUCAUUUCCUCAUAGUUGUGCAAGUGAAAGAUCUUGUGAUGUAGGGUGGAACCCUAGAUAGCCGAUCUUUCACGAAAGGAGCGGAUCCCAACGAGGAACACGAGGGAAAACACGAGGGAAAAUGCGAGAGAAUCACUCGAACCAACAAGAUACGGUCACACAUAUGCUAGAUCCUCGAAAUACAAAGAGAUACACGAUCCAAAUCCAACAAAGGACGAUACAUAGGGUAACCGGUUCUUCUCCGUAAGGAGGUCUUGAAUCCACGGGGGAUCUUCCCGUGAGGGGUCUUGAAUCCAAGAUGGAUCUUCUCCGAAGAGGGGCCGCGGUCUCUCUCGUGGAGUAGAUCCGUAAUGGACGAGCAAAGCUCUAUCUCUAAUGAGCUACUACUUUGCUAACCCUAGAAAGGAGGUGGAGGUGGUCUAUUUAUAGUCUUAGCCACGAAGGGGUAAGUGGGAGAGGGAUACAAGGACAAAGGCCCGCGGCUGCGCACAGGCAGGUACCGGACGACCGAUGGGGGUCGGACAUCUGGUGGCCCAGGACGGUCCGGACGUCCGGUGCGCGUCAGAUGUCCACUGAUUCUUCUCGAGUGUAGUGGCACCGAUCGUCCGGUCGUCCGGUCGGCGCCGGUCGUCCGGGCGCUGGGACUCGUCGGAUGUCUGGUAUUCGUCGGACGUCCGGCCGCUAUAGCACUCGUCGCCUGGAGUUCUUCUGGCCGUCUGGGCUACACCAGGUACCAGAUGUCCAGUGGCGUCCGGACGUCCGGUGGCUGUAGCUUGUAGCAGCUCCAUCUUCUUCCGUAUUCGCUUCCACGCUUCCCUCGCGGAUGGUGUAGGUGUUCCUUGGCGCUUGCACUCAUCCACGUCGUCCGUAGCGUUCCGACAAUACAUAUGCAUGCACACGGGAGAAGUGUCAAGUAGUAUACCAUCCUUGAAGGGGUCAAGUGAACACGCGUAAAGGAGAUGAUUCACCUUUGUGUAUGUCGAGUGGAUGUCGAACGUGUCACUUGCCAAACGGACUCUUGACAUGGUGAUGUCCGUGGGAUGCUCCGCAUCAUCUCCCCUCCCUUGGGAAAGAUCCGACCUUGGAUCGAAAACCAAAUCACCAUGGGAAAGAGAUGGCGUCGCCGUGUAAGAGUGGUUGAUCACCAAGUUCUCGUCAUCUUGAAGCUUGAAAUGGGCACUCUCCAAUGUUGCACCAUCUUGGGAUUACUUCAAAAGGAGCAAAGACAACAAACACUUGGAAAAACAAAUGUGGUUAGCGUUAGUGCAAAACCAAGCAUUCAAGAGAUGAUUCACCAAACAAGUGUCGUCAUCAUGCAAAGCAUAUGGUUUGACAAAGGAUUGUGACAUGGCAUAUAAGCACAUAAAUUGAGCACAAGCAAAGAUAUCAUGGGGACAAGCAUGUAAAUGUGAGGUAGUGAUGCAAAUAUGUUGGACAAGUGAAUAAGCAUCUACCUCAAGAUCAUAGCAAACAUGGCAAUGGCAAGCAAUAUCUCCAUCAAGCUUGCAAAUACACAUACAAGUAGUAGAAUCAAUCAUCAUGUGCAAUGCAAAGCAUGGGUCACAAAUGCAUGGCAAAGGCAUAAGAAUAAUCAUAUCAUGCAAAGUGAACAUGGCAAGAUGGCCAAAUGAUAUAUAAUGGACAAUAACCCAUAGCCAAGUGUGGGCCAUGUAGAAAAAAUGCGCGAAGUCUUUGCGUGAAGAGAGCGGUGGGAAAGACAAUCCAUGGGAUCCCAAGUCAUCAUUGCUCUCUAGAGCUCAUUUUGUCAACUCAUGGGAUUGCGAGGUUGACAAGAAUUCAUGGGUACCUACACAAAAGAGACACAAAUGACUGAAAUUGUGUGUGUGGUAAAUGUACACAUCAUCCAUCAUGAUGUGUAUGUGCACGUGAAAGUGAGCACAAGAUAAGCGUUGCUCAAAGAAAUUUGAUGCAUGGUAUAAGUACAUGCCAUCCAUCAUGAAAGAAUAGUUAUUGUGUAUACCAUGAUGGGGAUGCAAAUUUAGCAUACAAGUAUAUGGCACAACAAUAGCAUUUUUAUUCAUGGGGAGCAUAUGGUGCACACAAGUGUUGUGAUCAUGCAAUGGAUGGGAGUGAUCAAAAUCUCCUAAAAUGUAUGAGGAAACUAUGGGGGUCUCCUCAUGAGCAAUAUCAGAAACAUCAUAUGGAGAAAAUGGACAACAUUCAAAACAAUGCAUAUCCGAAGCUAGGUGGUCAUGGCAUGGCAUAUGAAAUAAAUGAUGCAAAGGGAGCAUAUCAAUAUCAUCACAAGAAAAACAAAUGCCAAUAACCAUGGGCUUGUCAUCUAUGCCAUAUGUGAAAAUUGGGUUUAUUUGAAUAGAAUAUGCAUAGUCACUAUGAAGAGAUUGUAAAUAUGACAUAUGAUUGAUCUCAUGCAUAGCAUAUGACAAGUCAAGCGGAUUGGCAAACAUGAUGUGACUGAGAGAAUUAGCACAAGAAAUCCUAUGUAACAUGGCAUCACAACUAAUAGACUCCACAUGGCAAUCAUCAUACUCAUUAUAAAUGGGUAAAUCAUCGCAUGGGGAUGUCGCACUAGCAUGAAGCAUGGUAAUAGGUGGAUCAACACCAUGCAAGCAAUCAAUGUUAAGAAUGUCCACUAGUGGGACUAGAGCAUCACCUUCACCUAUUGAUGCGGAGCAUCCCAAGACCAUCCCCAUGGACCCAACUACAUCUCCUACGACACCUCUUGGACCCAUGACACGAGCACGUGCAAGAGCUCUUGAAACCGAGGUGACAUCUCUCGUCUCACAUUUCCACUUUGAUACACAUGAGACAUGGCUACUACCUCAUACAGAUACUUUGUGCAUGCUCAGGUACCACGGAGAAGCUAAGGAGCAAGGAGAAGAAGAAGAGGAAGAUGGACAUGAAGACGGAGAAGAAGAAGUGAUGAAGAGGAAGCUACAGGCUCCGGACGACCGACCUGGACUGGACGUCCGACGACCUCCAGGCUCCGGACGUCCAGCCUUCUCCGGACGACCGACGCACCCGCACCCAAGCCAAAUCUACGGAUUUCCGGAGCCCCUCGGACAACCAACGACGCCCGGACGCCCGACCCCAACCGGACGUCUGACCGAAGCACACCCGAGCCGAAAUUACGGACGUCCGACAGAUCCUCGCGAGCCUCCGGACGACCGGUGACCUCCGGACGUCCGACGCCUGUGUGCUGAUUCGUGUUGGACCGCAGCCCAUGUACCCCUUCGCCCCCGUAUUUUGCACUAAGACUAUAAAUACUCCACCUAUUCCUUCUAGCUAGGGUUAGCGUUGGUUUAGCUCAAUUUGAGACAUAGAGCUACGCUCAUCCACAUCGGAUCUACUUCUCAUGAGAGACCGCGGCCUCUUUGGAGAAGAUCCCUUUGGAUUCAAGACCCCUCUUUAGGGAAGAACAUCAAGACCUCCUCAUGGAGAAGACCGUUACCAUUGUAUCGUCCCUAGUUGAUCGUGUACCGUGUAUCGUUCCAUGUAUCCGAGGAUCUAGCACUUUUGAGACUUGUUCUUGUUAGUUGAGUGUUCCUCUUGUGUUUUCCCCUUGUGAUUCCCUCGUUUCCCUCCUCGUGUUCUUCGUGUUCUUCACGGGUUCCGCUCCUUUCGUGAAAGAUCGGCCCCUAGGGUUCCUACCCUACAUCAUCUUGGUAUCAUGAGCCACGUUGAUCAUGAUUUUGGAGCCUCCCCGUCGUGUUGCUAGCCUUGUUUUGUUGUUUUUCAUCCUAAUUCGAAAGUUCCCCACAAAAAUAGCCCCAAAUUUUUUUUGUGAUUUGUUAGUGUGUUGAGAUUUUGUUGGUUUGGAUCCGUCGAUUUGCUUUGUUUUGAGUGGAUCUGGCUUUUUCCCCCUUUCCCACCCUUUCCAUCCACAAAAUCGUCCGGAUUUGACCAUUUUCACCAUCUCCACCUCGAACCCUAGCUGUUCAUCCCGUGCCCGAAAAUCGCCUAGGCACCGGACGUCCGACCCAGCUCGGACGUCCGACGACGACCGGACGACCGGCCCAGCCCGGACGUCCGACCGACCCUGACGAAACUGAAUUUUUUCUGUGUAGUGAACACCACCGCCCCACAUUUCUGCAAACACACUCCUACCACUAUACACCAUCCUCACUUCCACAUACCACCACCAUUUUGGACCGUUUCGCACUCCGACACGUGUUGCCCCUUCAAGCUUUGAGAAUUUGAGUUGCGGUUCCGUAUCCUUUUGUGUUUCGGCUAUCUAGGUACGGUUCGACAUCGACAUCACCGCCGCUCAUCUUCACCACGGACGUGUCAUCAAUAACGACCACCUCGACUACACCUUGGUAUUCGUGCCACCAUUUUGACACCAUACCGGAAGCAAGACCGGUAACCUCGUCUUGGUAUUGGACAUAUCACUCUUGCCAUUACAUUGAUACCCAUCAUAGCCUUACUCCUUUGCGUUGCUUACCCAUCGAGACUAGCCAUUGAGUAUUGCCGGCAAUGAGACUUGUGCACAUUAGUGAUCAUACUUCCCAAAACAUACACACAUCAUUGUUGCAUAUAUUGGUAUCAUCUUGUGUCACAAAGUUGUCAUCGCAUACACAAUUGCUAUCUUGGUUCGUCAAGCAUCGCAUAAGAAAAGAGCUCCAUUGUCAAAGAGCCAAACAAGCUUUUAAGCAAAGAGGAAAGAUAAGAAAAGAGAUUUUAAGCAAGAACCAUAGCAUCAUACAACAUUAAGAUUUUCAUACUCGAUCAUCUUGGAUCAUAUCAUAGAAACACCUUGCAUAAAGCAUGCUUGGGAUAGAAGUCGUUGCAUUUUUGCUUAGUAGGUUGUGCACAAGUUCUUGUAUCCGUCUAUUGUGCAAUCGUGCUAGCGUCUCUCUAGUGUUGUGCAACAAGAGCAUUUUUGUGGAUUCCACAUUUUGGUUCACCCUUGGUUGCACGACCACACUUAUCUUUUUGCGUGUGUGUUUCCGUGUACCUUAUAUGCUUGGUCUACUUGUUACAUUGCAUCUUGCGAAUCUUUUCCAACAUUAUUGAAGCUCACUUACAAUUGCAUCAAAUUUUGUGCCACCAUCCUAACCAAGCUCCACCAAAAGCUUUUACUUGUGUAGGUGUGAGAAACCGACAAGAGCUAGUACCAAUUGUGCUAUUUCCUUGUCCUACAUUGGAGUGAUCCUCGAUCCACUUUCAACUUCGGUCAAGGUACAUUUGGUAUUCGUUCUUCUCUUUCUACCACUCACAUUUAUCUUGGAAUGAUGGAUAGGACAAGUACUUCUACCAACCCACUCUUCGUGGAGCAAGAUGACGACAUGAACUCCUUCGUCACCAAGAGUCACCUCUUUGGUGCACAACGUGCUUUGCAUCUAGAGCAACAAGCUAUGAGUGAACGCAUCGACAACCUCGCCACCAACUUGCGACUCUCCGAGCAACGUACAAGGGACUACUUCGACCACAAGCUCGACGAUCACAAGCAAGAGAAUGACGCAAGGAUGGACGAAAUUCGCGCUUUGUUGCUCAACCGCUCUUCUUCCACUUCGUCUUCAUCAACAAGGACUCGCUCAAGCCGACACUCCGACUUCACACUCUCCGGCUCAAGUACACUGACAUCGAACACUCUUCGCCAAGCCGCGCGCAACGAUCGUCAAGCAAGCCUCAAUCCCCUAUGCGACACUGACUCUCAAGAGCGCCGACGAUGUCAAACUCAAGAGGCCUUUGCGCUAGCACAAGAACGGCAACGACAACGCCAACAUGAAGAGGAAGAGCGAGCGUGUCUACACCAAGUUGCACAAGACGCCGAGGCACAACGCCAAGAAGAACAACUCUGUGAAGCUCAAGCACUUGCGGCGCAACAAGCCCUCCAAGAUUCAAGUAGAGCCGUAGCCAACCGAGGCCGACAAGCUCAAGAACAAGAAGAAGCAUUUCGCGAAGAAAUUCAAGAACGGAGAUUUCAAGCUCGCCAAGAGCAUCAAGUUCAUCAACAGCAUGAAGACAAUGGAAAUCCUCCACAACAAGAGCAACAUGAGGUUGACAACCAUCCUCACCAAGAGCGACACGAGCUUAACAAUCAACUACAACACGAGCGUCAUCAUCCCUGACCCCAACACAAUUAAGAGAAAUGCUAUGGCAAGCUCAAGUUCACCAUGCCCAAGUUCAAUGGAAGCAACGAUCCCGAAGAGUACCUUUCAUGGGCAUUGAAAGUUGACAAGAUCUUCCGUUUGCGCGAUUAUGAAGAAGAGAAGAAGAUCGCGAUGGCAUCCCUUGAGUUCCAAGACUAUGUCCUCAUUUGGUGGGAACAAGUCAUCGAGCGUCGUGAGGCAAGAGGUGAACCACCCAUCACCACUUGGGCACAAAUGAAGGAUGUCAUGAGAGCACGCUUCGUGCCUACCUACUACAGCCGCGACCUCUUUAAGAAACUCCAACUACUCAAGCAAGGAACCAAGAGCGUUGAAGAGUACUACAAGGAGAUGGAGAUUGCCAUGAUAAGAGCUAACCUCACGAAAGAUGAUGAGCAAACUAUGGCACGUUUCUUGAAUGGACUCAAUCAUCCCAUCAAGAAGAUCGCCGACUUCCAACCAUACUCAAAUCUCAUCGAGCUAGUGCACCAAGCUACCAAAGCGGAACGCCAAGUGCAAGAUGAUUUCAAGUAUGCCAAGUUCUCAUCCAAUUCCUACGGCUUCUCCAACAACCAAGCUUCAACGACUCCAACACUGACUACUAAGCCUUCUACUAGCACCAUCGACAAGUCGAGUUCCAAGAAAGCUUCGUCAACUCCAAGUCAUCCUACUACAAGCAACUUCAAGCCAAGAGCUUCACCAUCAUCAACCCCAACCGAUGUGACCGUCAAGACAAGUUCCUUCAAAUGCUUCACAUGUGGAGGCCGAGGCCACAAGUCCUAUGAGUGCACCAACAAGAGGACCAUGAUCCUCAACGACGACGGCACUUACGACUGAAUGAGUGAACAAGAAAUGGAAGCCAUCGAGCAAGUCGCCAUGCACCGGCAAGUGAACGAUGAAGAGGAACAACUCUUUUGCGAUGAAGAUUCAAGUCCCGCCCUUGUUGUCUCCAAGGUCUUGACUCUCCAACAUCACCAAGAAGAAGACCAACGAUGCCACAUAUUCCACACCAAGGCGGGAAUCAAUGGACGAUCCGUCAAAUUCAUCAUCGAUGGAGGGAGUUGUCAUAAUCUCGCAAGUGAAGAACUUUUCUUCAAGCUCCAAUUGUCCAAGACGAAGCAUCCACAUCCAUACAAACUGCAAUGGCUUAGCGACUCCGGAACCAUCCAAGUCGAGCACCGAGUACAAGUCCCCUUCAAAAUUGGCGCCUACGAAGACACCUUGGAGUGCGAUGUCGUUCCAAUGACCGUUUACCAUCUUCUCCUUGGACGCCCAUGGCAAUUCGAUAGAGGAGUCAUCCACAACGGCCGAACGAACCACUACAUCUUCAAGAUGAAGGGCAAGGAGUAUGUCCUCCGUCCAAUGUCGCCAAGUCAAGUGAUCGCCGAUAAGCAAGCCACCCAUCGUGGAGAUCAUAGUGAGAGAGCGAGCCACCAAAAAGAGAGUGAGCGCCACAAGCCCAAAUCGAACACCUCCACGAUGAGCGAAAAGAAGAACCUAGUCCUAUUUGCCACCAAAAGUGAGAUAAGAGGAGUGUGUGAGAACCCAUCUAGUGUCCUACACUACGUCGUUGUAUGCAAGGACAAUGCACCACAAACUAACACUUCUCACACUCUUCCUCUAGUGUUGUCUUCUCUUUUGAAGGAAUUUCAUGAUGUUUUUCCCGGUGAGCUACCUUCGGGACUACCUCCACUACGAGGCAUUGAGCACCGCAUCGACCUCAUCCCCGGAGCACCGCUUUCGAACAAAGCUCCCUACCGCGUCAACCCCGAAGAAACUAAAGAAAUACAAAGGCAAGUAAAGCAUCUCAUAGACCAUGGACAUGUGUGUGAAAGUUUGAGCCCUUGUGCCGUCCUGGUCAUUCUUGUGCCAAAAUGUGACGGUAGCUUUCGCAUGUGCUCCGAUUGUAGACCUAUCAAUGCUAUCACCGUUCGUAUAGGUAUCCCAUUCCAUGCCUCGACGAUAUGCUUGAUGAGCUUAGUGGUGCCACUAUCUUUUCUAAAAUUGAUCUCAAGAGUGGUUACUAUCAAAUCCGCAUACAAGAGGGUGAUGAAUGGAAAACCGCUUUCAAAACCAAGUUUGGCUUGUAUGAGUGGCUAGUCAUGCCUAUGGGUCUCUCAGAAGCACCGGGUACUUUUAUGCAUCUUAUGAAUCAUGUUUUCCGCCCUUACAUUGGUAUAUUUGUUGUGGUAUACUUUGAUGAUAUCCUUGUUUUUAGCAAAUCUCUUAAAGAUCAUGUCACCCAUGUUCGAACCAUUUUGCAAACUCUUCGGAAAGAGCACCUCUAUGCUACUAUGGAGAAAUGGCUUUUUGGCGUUGACAAGCUCGUUUUCUUGGGUUUUGUUGUUUCCUCUACGGGUGUUCAUGUUGAUGAGUCCAAGAUCAAUGCUAUCAAGACUUGGCCACAACCAACCAAUUUGGAUCAAGUGCGUAGUUUUCUUGGCCUUGCGGGUUUCUAUCGUCGCUUUGUGAAGGAUUUUAGCACCAUUGCUUCUCCUUUGCAUGCUUUGAGCAAGAAGAAUGCGCCCUUUGUUUGGGGACCAUCCCAAGAUACCGCAUUCAAUGAGCUUAAGAAUUUGCUUACUCAUGCUCCCGUGCUUGCUUUACCCAACUUCGACAAGCCUUUUGAGAUUCAUUGCGAUGCUAGUGGUAAUGGCAUAGGAGGUGUGUUAACACAAGAGAAGCGCCCCAUAGCCUACUUUAGUGAGAAACUUUCCGGAGCGCAACUCAAUUACCCCGUCUAUGACAAAGAGUUAUAUGCUUUAGUGCGCUUUUGCAUGAAUGGGAACAUUACCUUCGUCCCCCUGAGUUUAUCAUUCAUACCGAUCAUGAAAUUCUCAAGUAUCUUAAGGGCCAAACCAAGUUGAACAAGCGUCAUGUUAAAUGAGUGAAUUUAUUGAGUCCUUUCCUUAUGUCGUCAAGUACAUUAAGGGCAAAGAAAACAUUGUAGCGGAUGCACUUUCUCGCAUAUGCAUGCUUGUUACUCAACUUGAAUUGGAUGUCAUUGGUUUUGAGCAUAUCAAAGACUUGUAUGAGCAUGAUGCAACUUUUGCUACUCCUUAUGCCCAGUGUUUUUCGCACACCUCUUGGGAACGCUAUUACAUCAAAGAUGGAUAUCUUAUGAGAGCUAACAAUCUUUGCAUCCCUGAGUCUUCUCUUCCUUUAUUGCUUUUGCAAGAAUCUCAUGGAGGAGGCUUAAUGGGCCAUUUCGGAUGCGACAAGACGUUCGCUACGCUCUCGAAGAACUACUUUUGGCCCAAGAUGUUUCGUGACGUCAAUCGCUUCACCAACCGAUGCUCUACAUGUCGCAAAGCUAAGUCCAAAGCUCAAUCUCAUGGCCUUUAUAUGCCUCUACCAAUUCCAUACCAACCAUGGGAAGACAUUAGCAUGGACUUUGUACUUGGUUUCCCUAGGACUCGAAAUGGGAAAGAUUCGAUAUUUGUCAUUGUGGACCAUUUCUCAAAAAUGGCACAUUUUAUUCCUUGCAACAAGAUAGACGAUGCUUCACAUGUUGCUAAUCUCUUUUGUAGGGAAAUAUUGCGUCUACAUGGAGUGCCCAAGACGAUUGUCUCGGACUGCGACGUCAAGUUCCUUAGCUACUUUUGGAAGACCCUAUGCGCCAAGCAAGGAAUCACGCUCCUCUUCUCUAUGGCAUAUCAUCCACAAGCCGACGACCAAACGGAAGUUACGAACCGCACACUCUCCGCUCUACUUCGGGUAGUCAUCAAGAAGAACAUAAAGGAGUGGGAGGAGUGCCUACCUAUCGCCGAGUUUGCCUAUAACCGAGCAAGACAUUCAACAACCGGCAAGUCCCCCUUCGAGGUCGUCUAUGGCUUCAAUCCUUUGUCGCCAUUAGACAUUCUCCCUCUACCACUCCAAGAGCGCAUCAAUUUGGACGCAAGUGCACGUGCGACACAUCUCAAGAAGGUGCAUGAAGAUACAAGAAACACCAUCGAGCGCCAAGUUCAAUGCCUUGCGACCAAGCUCAACAUCAACAAGCAACCUAUGGUCUUCAACAUUGGUGAUCUCGUGUGGCUACACCUUCGCAAGGAUCGCUUUCCACAAGAACGCAAGUCCAAGCUGCGACCACGAGCGGAUGGACCUUUCAAGGUGCUCGCACGAUACAACGACAAUGCUUACAAGAUCGACCUCCCACGCAACAAGUACAACAUGAGCGACAUCUUCAACGUCAAAGAUCUCUCUCCCUUCCAUGGUGAUGAAGAAUUUGAUCCGAGGACGAAUCUUCCCCAAGGGAAGGGAGAUGAUGCAGAGCAUCCCAAGAGCAUCCCCAUGGACCCAACUACAUCUCCUAUGACAGCUCUUGGACCCAUGAUAUGAGCACGUGCAAGAGCUCUUGAAACUGAGGUGACAUCUCUCCUCUCACAUUUCCACUUUGAUACACAUGAGACAUGGAUACUACCUCAUACAAAUACUUUGUGCAUGCUCAGGUGCCAUGGAGAAGCUAAGGAGCAAGGAGAAGAAGAAUAGGAAGAUGGACGUGCAGACGGAGAAGAAGAAGUGAUGAAGAGGAAGCUACAGGCUCCGGACGACCGGCCUGGGCCGGACGUCCGACGACCUCCAGGCUCCGGACGUCCGGCCCUCUCCGAACGACUCAUACGUCUCCAACGUAUCUAUAAUUUUUGAUUGCUCCAUGCUAUAUUAUCUAAUGUUUUGGACAUUAUUGGGCUUUAUUAUACACUUUAUAUUAUUUUUGGGACUAAUCUAUUAACCGGAGGCCCGACCCAGAAUUGCUGUUUUUUUGCCAAUUUUAGGGUUUCAAAGAAAAGUAAUAUCAAACGGAGUCCAAACGGAAUGAAACCUUCGGGAAUGUGAUUUUCUCAACGAACAUGAUCCAGGAGACUUGGACCCUACAUCAAGCAACCAACAGGGAGGCCACGAGGUAGGGGGUGCACCUACCCCCCCCCCCCAGGCAUGCCCUCCACCCUCGUGGGCCCCCUGUUGCUCCACUGACAUACUUCUUCCUCCUAUAUAUACCUACGUACCCCCAAACGAUCAGAUACGGAGCCAAAACCCUAAUUCCACCGCCGUAAAUUUUUGUAUCCACGAGAUCCCAUCUUGGGGCCUGUUUCGGAGCUCCGCCGGAGGGGGCAUCGAUCACGGAGGGCUUCUACAUCAACACCAUAGCCUCUCCGAUGAAGUGUGAGUAGUUUACCUCAGGCCUUCGGGUCCAUAGUUAUUAGCAAGAUGGCUUCUUCUCUCUUUUUGGAUCUCAAUACAAAGUUCUCCCCCCUCUCUUGUGGAGAUCUAUUCGAUGUAAUGUUCUUUUGCGGUGUGUUUAUUGAGACCGAUGAAUUGUGGGUUUAUGAACAAGUUUAUCUAUGAACAAUAUUUGAAUAUUCUCUGAAUUCUUUUAUGUAUGAUUGGUUAUCUUUGCAAGUCUCUUCGAAUUAUCAGUUUGGUUUUGCCUACUACAUUGAUCUUUCUUGCAAUGGGAGAAGUGCUUAGCUUUGGGUUCAAUCUUGCAGUGUCCUUUCCCAGUGACAGUAGGGGCAGCAAGGGACAUAUUUUAUUGUUGCCAUCGAGGAUAACAAGAUGGGUUUUUUAUCAUGUUGCAUGAAUUUAUCCCUCUACAUCAUGUCAUCUUGCUUAAAGCGUUACUCUGUUCUCUUGAACUUAAUACUCUAGAUGCAUGCUGGAUAGCGGUCGAUGUGUGGAGUAAUAGUAGUAGAUGCAGGCAGGAGUCGGUCUACUUGUCUCGGACGUGAUGCCUAUAUACAUGAUCAUACCUAGAUAUUCUCAUAACUAUGCUCAAUUAUGUCAAUUGCUGAACAGUAAUUUGUUCACCCACCAUAAAAUACUUAUGCUCUCGAGAGAAGCCACUAGUGAAACCUAUGGCCCCCGGGUCUAUCUUCAUCAUAUUAAAUCUUCCAAUACUUAGUUAUUUUCAUUGCUUUUAUUUUACUUUGCAUCUUUAUCGUAAAAAUACCAAAAAUAUUAUCUUAUCAUAUCUAUCAGAUCUCACUCUUGUAAGUGACCGUGUAGGGAUUGACAAUCCCUUAUCGCGUUGGUUGCGAGGAUUUAUUUGUUUUGUGUAGGUGCGAGGGACUGGCGCAUAGCCUCCUACUGGAUUGAUACCUUGGUUCUCAAAAACUGAGGGAAAUACUUACGCUACUUUGUUGCACCACCCUUUCCUCUUCAAGGGAAAACCAACGCAAGUGCUCAAGAGGUAGCAAGAAGGAUUUCUGGCGCCGUUGCCGGGGAGGUCUAUGCAAAAGUCAACACACCAAGUACCCAUCACAAACCCUUAUCUCCCGCAUUACAUUAUUUGCCAUUUGCCUCUCGUUUUCCUCUCCCCCACAUCACCCUUGCCGCUUUAUUCGCCCUCUCUCUCUAUCCUCCCUCUCUUUUCUAUUUGCCUAUUUUGCCCGCUCCUCGUUUGCUUAUGUGUUGGAUUGCUUGUUUGUCACGAUGGCUCAAGAUAACACUAAAUUGUGUGACUUUACCAAUACCAACAACAAUGAUUUUAUUAGCACUCCGAUUGCUCCUCUUACUGAUGCUAAAUUUGAUAAAAGUGGGAUUGAAGAGAUCAAAACUCUAGAUGUUAAUGAACCUACUAUUUUGGAUUUCAAGGAAUUUAAUUAUGAUAAUUGCUCUUUGAUAGAUUGUAUUUCCUUGUUGCAAUUCGUGCUAAAUUCUCCUCAUGCUUAUAGCCAAAAUAAAGCUUUUACCAAACAUAUCGUUGAUGCUUUGAUGCAAUCUUAUGAAGAAAAACUUGAGUUGGAAGUUUCUAUCCCUAGAAAACUUUAUGAUGAGUGGGAACCAACUAUUAAAAUUAAAAUUAAAGAUCAUGAAUGUUAUGCUUUGUGUGAUUUGGGUGCUAGUGUUUCCACGAUCCCAUAGACUUUGUGUGAUUUGUUAGGUUUCUGUGAUUUUGAUGAUUGCUCUCUAAACUUGCACCUUGCGGAUUCCACUAUUAAGAAACCUAUGGGAAGAAUUAAUGAUGUUCUUACUAUUGCAAAUAGGAAUUAUGUGCCCAUAUAUUUUAUCGUUCUUGGUAUAGAUUGCAAUCCUUCAUGUCCUAUUAUUCUUGGUAGACCUUUCCUUAGAACGAUUGGUGCAAUUAUUGAUAUAAAAAAGGAAAUAUUAGAUUCCAAUUUCCGUUAAGGAAAGGCAUGGAACACUUUCCUAGAAAGAAAAUUAAAUUACCUUAUGAAUCUAUUAUGAGAGCCACUUAUGGAUUGCCUACCAAAGAUGGCAAUACCUAGAUCUAUCCUUGCAUUUUAUGCCUAGCUAGGGGCGUUAAACGAUAGCGCUUGUUGGGAGGCAACCCAAUUUUAUUUUUAUUCCUUGCUUUUUGCUCCUAUUUAAUAAUAAAUAAAUAAUUUAUCUAGCCUCUAUUUUGGUUGUGUGUUUUAUGUUUAAUUAGUGUUUGUGCCAAGUAGAACCGUUGGGAAGACUUGGGGAAAGUCUUGUUAAUACUGCUGUAAAAAAACAGAAACUUUAGCGCUCACGAGAACUGCUACCAUAUUUAUUUGGAAAGUUCUAUUUAGUUAAUUAUUUUUGAAGAUGAUUAAUAGAAAAAUUACUAACGUCCAGCAAUUUAUUUUAGAAUUUUUGGGGUUCCAGAUCUUGCGCUAGCUACAGAUUACUACAGACUGUUCUGUUUUUGACAGAUUCUGUUUUUCGUGUGUUGUUUGCUUAUUUUGAUGAAUCUAUGGCUAGUAAAAUAGUUUAUAAACCAUAGAGAAAUUGGAAUACAGUAUGUUUAACACCAAUAUAAAUAAAGAAUGAGUUCAUUACAGUACCUUGAAGAGGUGUUUUGUUUUCUUUCGCUAACAGAGCUCACAAGAUUUUCUACUUUAAGUUUUGUGUUCUGAAGUUUUCAAGUUUUGGGUAAAGAUUUGAUGGAUUAUGGAACAAGGAGUGGCAAGAGCCUAAGCUUGGGGAUUCCCAUGGCACCCCCAAGAUAAUCUAAGGACACCUAAAAGCCAAAGCUUGGGGAUGCCCCGGAAGGCAUCCCCUCUUUCGUCUACUUCUAUCGGUAACUUUACUUGGAGCUAUAUUUUUAUUCACCACAUGAUAUGUGUAUUGCUUGGAGCGUCUUGUAUGAUUUGAGUCUUUAUUUGUUAGUUUACCACAAUCAUCCUUGCUGUACACACCUUUUGACAGAGACACACAUGAUUCGGAAAUUAUUAGAAUAUUCUAUGUGCUUCACUUAUAUCUUUUGAGUUAUAUAGUUUAGCUCUAGUGCUUCACUUAUAUCUUUUAGAGCACGGUGGUGGAUUUGUUUUAUAGAAAGUAUUGAUCUCUCAUACUUCACUCAGAUUAUUUUGAGAGUCUUAAAUAGCAUGGUGAAUUGCUUAAAUAAUCCUAAUAUGCUAGGUAUACAAGAUUAAUAAUAAAAUUCUCUUAUGAGUGUGUUGAAUACUAUGAGAAGUUUGAUACUUGAUAAUUGUUUUGAGGUAUGGAGAUGGUGAUAUUAGAGUCAUGCUAGUUGAGUAGUUGUGAAUUUGAUAAAUACUUGUGUUAAAGUUUGUGAUUCCUGUAGCAUGCACGUAUGGUGAACCGUUAUGUGAUGAAGUUGGAGCGUGAUUUAUUUAUUGAUUGUCUUCCUUAUGAGUGGCGGUCGGGGACGAGCGGUGGUCUUUUCCUACCAAUCUAUCCCCCUAGGAGCAUGCGCGCAAUACUUUUCUUUGAUAACUUGUAGAUUUUUCCAAUAAGUAUAUGAGUUCUUUAUGAUUAAUGUUGAGUCCAUGGAUCAUACGCAUUCUCACCCUUCCACCUUUGCUAGCCUCUCUAAUACCGCGCACCUUUCGUCGGUAUCAUACACCCACCAUAUACCUUCCUCAAAACAGCCACCAUACCUACCUAUCAUGGCAUUUCCAUAGCCAUUCCGAGAUAUAUUGCCAUGAAACUUUCCACCGUUCCGUUUACUAUGACACGCUCCAUCAUUGUGAUAUUGCUUUGCAUGAUCAUGUAAUUGACAUUGUAUUUGUGGCAAAGCCACCGUUCAUAAUUCUUUCAUACAUGUCACUCAUGAGUCAUUGCAUAUCCCGGUAUACCGUCGGAGGCAUUCACAUAGAGUCAUAUUUUGUUCUAAGUAUCGAGUUGUAAUUCUUGAGUUGUAAGAAAAUAGAAGUGUGAUGAUCAUCAUUAUUAGAGCAUUGUGCCAGUGAGGAAAGGAUGAUGGAGACUAUGAUUCUCCCACAAGUCGGGAUGAGACCCCGGACGAAAAAAAGAGGCCAUAAAAAAAGGAGAAAAGGCCCAAAUAAAAAAUGAGAGAAAAAGAAAGAAGGGACAAUGCUACUAUCCUUUUACCACACUUAUGCUUCAAAGUAGCACCAUGAUCUUCAUGAUAGAGAGUCUCCUUUGUUAUCACUUUCAUAUACUAGUGGGAAUUUUUCAAUAUAGAACUUGGCUUGUAUAUUCCAAUGAUGGGCUUCCUCAAAAUGUCCUAGGUCUUCGUGAGCAAGCAAGUUGGAUGCACACCCACUUAGUUUCUUUUUGAGCUUUCAUAUACUUAUAGCUCUAGUGCAUCCAUUGCAUGGCAAUCCCUACUCACUCACAUUGAUAUCUAUUGAUGGCCAUCUCCAUAGCCCGUUGAUACGCCUAGUCGAUGUGAGACUAUAUUCUCCUUUUUGUCUCCUCCACAACCACCAUUCUAUUCCACCUAUAGUGCUAUGUCCAUGGCUCACACUCAUGUAUUGCAUGAAGAUUGAAAAAGUUUUGAGAAUGUCAAAAGUAUGAAACAAUUGCUUGGCUUGUCAUCGGGGUUGUGCAUGACUUAAAUACUUUGUGUGGUGAAGAUAGAGCAUAGCCAGACUAUAUGAUUUUGUAGGGAUAACUUUCUUUGGCCAUGUUAUUUUGAGAAGACAUAAUUGCUUAGUUAGUAUGCUUGAAGUAUUAUUAUUUUUAUGUCAAUAUUUAACUUUUAUCUUUAAUCUUUCGGAUCUAAAUAUUCAUACCACAAUUAAGAAGAAUUACAUUGAAACUAUACCAAGUAGCAUUCCACAUCAAAAAUUCUGUUUUUAUCAUUUACCUACUCAAGGAUGAGCAAAAAUUAAGCUUGAGGAUGCUUGAUACGUCUCCAACGUAUCUAUAAUUUUUGAUUGCUCCAUGCUAUAUUAUCUAUUGUUUUGGACAUUAUUGGGAUUUAUUAUACACUUUUAUAUUAUUUUUGGGACUAACCUAUUAACCGGAGGCCCAGCCCAGAAUUGUUUUUUUUCUAUUUUAGAUUUUUGAAGAAAAGGAAUAUCAAACAGAGUCCAAACGGAAUGAAACCUUCGGGAACGUGAUUUUCUCACCGAACAUGAUCCAGGAGACUUGGACCCUACGUCAAGCAACCAACAGGGAGGCCACGAGGUAGGGGGCGCNNNNNNNNNNNNNNNNNNNNNNNNNNNNNNNNNNNNNNNNNNNNNNNNNNNNNNNNNNNNNNNNNNNNNNNNNNNNNNNNNNNNNNNNNNNNNNNNNNNNNNNNNNNNNNNNNNNNNNNNNNNNNNNNNNNNNNNNNNNNNNNNNNNNNNNNNNNNNNNNNNNNNNNNNNNNNNNNNNNNNNNNNNNNNNNNNNNNNNNNNNNNNNNNNNNNNNNNNNNNNNNNNNNNNNNNNNNNNNNNNNNNNGCUCCACCGACGUACUUCUUCCUCCUAUAUAUAGCUACGUACCCCCAAACAAUCAGAUACGGAGCCAAAUCCCUAAUUACACCGCCAUAACUUUCUGUAUCCAUGAGAUCCCAUCUUGGGGCCUGUUCCGGAGCUCCGUCGGAGGGGGCAUCGAUCACGGAGGGCUUCUACAUCAACACCAUAGCCGCUUCGAUGAAGUGUGAGUAGUUUACCUCAGACCUUCGGGUCCAUAGUUAUUAGCUAGAUGGCUUCUUCUCUCUUUUUGGAUCUCAAUACAAAGUUCUCCCCCUCUCUUGUGGAGAUCUAUUCGAUGUAAUCUUCUUUUAAGGUGUGUUUGUUGAGACCGAUGAAUUGUGGGUUUAUGAUCAAGUUUAUCUAUGAACAAUAUUUGAAUCUUCUUUGAAUUCUUUUAUGUAUGAUUGGUUAUCUUUGCAAGUCUCUUCGAAUUAUCAGUUUGGUUUUGCCUACUAGAUUGAUCUUUCUUGCAAUGGGAGAAGUGCUUAGCUUUGGGUUCAAUCUUGCGGUGUCCUUUCCCAGUGACAGUAGGGGCAGCAAGGCACGUAUUGUAUUGUUGCCAUCGAGGAUAACAAGAUGGUGUUUUUAUCAUAUUGCAUGAAUUUAUCCCUCUACAUCAUGUCAUCUUGCUUAAAGCGUUACUCUGUUCUCUUGAACUUAAUACUCUAGAUGCAUGCUGGAUAGCGGUCGAUGUGUGGAGUAAUAGUAGUAUAUGCAGGCAGGAGUCGGUCUACUUGUCUCAGACGUGAUGCCUAUAUACAUGAUCAUACCUAGAUAUUCUCAUAACUAUGCUCAAUUAUGUCAAUUGCUCAACAGUAAUUUGUUCACCCACCGUAAAAUACUUAUGCUCUCGAGAGAAGCCACUAGUGAAUAUGGCCCUCGGGUCUAUCUUCAUCAUAUUAAAUCUUCCAAUACUUAGUUAUUUUCAUUGCUUUUAUUUUAUUUUGCAUCUUUAUCAUAAAAAUACCAAAAAUAUUAUCUUAUCAUAUCUAUCAGAUCUCACUCUCGUAAGUGACCGUGUAGGGAUAGACAACCCCUUAUCGCGUUGGUUGCGAGGAUUUAUUUGUUUUGUGUAGGUGCGAGGGACUGGCGCGUAGCCUCCUACUGGAUUGAUACCUUGGUUCUCAAAAACUGAGGGAAAUACUUACGCUACUUUGCUGCACCACCCUUUCCUCUUCAAGGGAAAACCAACGCAAGUGCUCAAGAAGUAGCAACGCCCGACGCCCCCACACCCGAGCCAAAUCUACGGAUUUCCGGAGCCCCUCGGAUGGCCGACGACGCCCAGACGUCCGACCCCGACCGGACGUUUGACCGAAGCAAACCCGAGCCGAAAUUAUGGACGUCCGACAGGCACCGGACGUCCGGACCCUCGUGAGCCUCCGGACGACCGGUGACCCCCGGACGUCCGACGCCUAUGUGCUGAUUUGUGUUGGGCCGCAGCCCAUGUACCCCUUCACCCCCCUCUUUUGCACUAAGACUAUAAAUACUCCACCUAUUCCUUCUAGCUAGGGUUAGCGUUGGUUUAGCUCAUUUUGAGAGAUAGAGCUACGCUCAUCCACAUCGGAUCUACUCCUCGUGAGAGACCGCGGCCUCUUUGGAGAAGAUCACUUUGGAUUCAAGACCCCUCUUUAGGGAAGAACACCAAGACCUCCUCACGGAGAAGACCGUUACCAUUGUAUCGUCCCUAGUUGAUCGUGUACCGUGUGUCGUUUCAUGUAUCCGAGGAUCUAGCACUUUCGAGACUUGUUCUUGUUAGUUGAGUGUUCCUCUUGUGUUUUCCCUAGUGAUUUCCCUUGUUUCCCUCCUCGUGUUCUUCGUGUUCUUCACGGGAUCCGCUCCUUUUGUGAAAGAUCGGCCCCUAGGGUUCCAACCCUACAUCACCUAUGUUACCUUUGUCAUUCCACUCAUGUGGUGUAGGUGAGGUGGGAAAGACCAAAUGGUGGUCAUCUUCAUCUUGAUGGAACCAUGUGGGGGUUGCAUCAUAUUCCACCAUGGCCAUCGUCUUGUCCAAAGGGAGGACGUAGUCGUCGUGAAUCAGCGCGUCAUCAUAUAUGGGACCUAGCACCAAAUGAGAAGACACAGUAGAGGUAGAGGUCAAGUUGUUAGAAAUGAAAAUGGCCUCACAUGCCCUAUCAACUUUCACACUCUCUCUAUGUGGUGGUUCACUCACUCCCUCAAAAUAGGUGCACUCAAACUCACGUAUGGUGGAGUCACUCAUCUCACUCAAGUGGUGGGGGUUGUGGCUCUCCUCACAUGGGAAUUGUGGCAACACAUCAUAUGUUGAGCUAGUGGUGAAGUCACUCUCACUCUCAAUAUGGUGGCUAAAGUCACUCAAGUCAACAUAUGUCGUCGUGGUCGAAGGGAAAAUCCCAUGCUCAACCAUCUCGCUGUCGUCACCAUGGAUGAAGGCCGAAGAUGCCACAUCAUCACUCUCGCCUCCUUAGAUGGAAGCAUCCUCUGUGCUCGUCACCAUGUCGCAUGCCUCCAAAGCAUGUUCCUUGAUUGGCUCCAUAGUCGUAGUCAUCGCCACACCUUCGUGAUAAAGAGUCGAAGUAGACUCGGCACCAUCAAUGCCACAAAGAGGGAUGGCGAUGAACUCGAACUUGGGAGCAUCGUCUUGGAGCCGAUCGGGCUUGGACAUCUUGGUGGUACUAUCCUCAUUCUCGCCUUCUUGGAGCUUGGCCUUCGAGAAGUGUGAUCGGGGUGGAGAAGCCUUGGCCUUCAUGAGUUCUUGUUCCGCCUUGAGAGCACCAAUGUAGUAGUCAUCGAGGGACUUGUAGUUCUCGAGGAAGAGAGUCUUGGAGAUGUCAUUGUGCAAUCCCAUCAUGAAGUGGAACUUCAUCGGAAUGGGGUCGUCCACGCCUGCACAUCGCAAGGCUUUCUUCAUCUCCUUGAAGUACUCGUCGAUGGACUUGGAUCCUUGGAUGGUGUUCUCUAAUUGGCGUAGAAGUUGUUCCGUGUAGGUUGGAGGCACGAACUCUCGCUGCAUAGCUCUCUUCGUCUUGGGCCAACUCAUGUCGUAGGUCCUCGAAGGUGCGUGAAGCCACUAUGUGGACGUGUAGUCGUGGAAGUUCCUUGUGGCGCACAUCACUUGAUCUUCGGGGGGAACUUGAUGUAGCUUGAGGUAGUCGUCCAUCAAACUCUCCCACUCAAGAUACUCAUCGGGUUCUACAGUCCCAUAGAAAGGAACCUCAUGGUUGAUGUCCAGGUCAUAGUAGCUCGUGGAAGUUGCGGACUUGAGCUUGGGGAGCUUCUCUUGAAGUGCUUGUGGGAGAAGAUGACGUAUGUCCGUAGGCGAAAAUGCCUUGAAGUCGCUUGGCAAAGAUGCCAAGGGAGAUGGUGAAGUCAUUGAGCGGUUGUUGGUGUUGAGCUCUUGAUCUUCACGUCCUUGUUGGUGAUGGUGUCGAUGCCGAUGUGAUUUUGCCGGAGAUGGUAGCUCAGAGACAUGUGCUCUUGAGCGUCUUAUCGAAGAUGAGGAAGAUCGCUUGUACCACUUGAUGAGGACUUUGAUCUCCUCCAUUUGAGCUUGUAUCUUGGCAUCGGUGGAGUUGAUCAUGGCAUCGAACUCGCCGUUGUUGUUGUAGACCGAAGAUGAAAUGCCUUGCCUCUCCAUCACAAGACUCGAGCCAAUAUGAGUGGGAGAAAGAUAAGAACUAUACCAAAUGUACCUUGACCGAAGUUGAGGAUGGAUCAAUGAUCACUCAAUGAUGUUACAAGGAAAUAGCACAAUUGGUACCAAUUCUUGUCGGUUUCUCACACCUCCACAAAUAAGGCUUAUGGUGGAGCUCGGUGAGGAUAGUGGCACAAAAAUUUGAUGCAAAAUGUUAGCAAGAGUCAAUAAUGUUGAAAGAGAUCCACAAAUUUGCAAGUGAAACAAGUAGACCAAUAGCAAUGAAUGGCACACGGAAACACACACACGGAUAGAUAAAUGGGGUCGUGUAACCAAGGAUGAGAACAAAAUGUGGAAUCCAUGGAAAACGCUCGUGUUGCACAACUCAAGAGAGACACUAGCAUGAUUUCUCAAUAGGCGGAUACGACACUUGUGCACAACCUAUAAGAUGCAAAAUGUAUGAGCUUUCUAUCCCAAGUAUGCUAUGUAUGAUGUUCCAGUGGUAUGAUCCAAGAUGAUUGGAUAUGACAAUCUUAUAUGCAAUGUGGCAUGAUGCUAUGGCACUUGCUUACAAGCUCUUUGUUCACUCUUUUUUUUCUUAAAAGCUUUAUUUUUUUUGUAUAUGGCCACAAUGCGAAAUGCACAAACCAAGAUAGCAAUUGUAUAUAUGCGGGAACAAACUUGAGGCACACGAGAUGAUAUGAUACCAAUAUGAUAUGGUAUGUAUGCAAUAGAUGGUGUAGAUCACUAAUGUGCACAAGUAUCGUUGCCGGCAAUACUCAAAUGGCUAGUCUCGAUAGGCAAGUGACACAAAAUGGGCUAGGGGUUAUCAAUACAAUGGAAAGGGAAUAUACAAUGGAGGGAUACCACAAUACCAAGAUGAUAUGGAGGUUACCCUCCUUGGCGAUGAUGAGUGGCGGUGUUCUUGAUGUAGAUACCAAGAUGAUGGAGACUCGUCCCUAAGUAGCCGAAACACCUUAGGAAACAGAAAAACCGCGAACUCAAAAUCUCAAACGUCAAACGUCAAAUGGUGGUAGCGGGAUGUGGUGGUGGAAUGAUGGGUUAUGCGAGUAGGCAAUGCGGAAGUGGAGAUUAGGAUGGUGGACUAUACAUGGUGUCGGAGUUGGAAGCACGGUGCCUAAGUAGCCGAAACACCUUAGGAGACACAACUCAGAACACAAACAAAAUUGGGUUAAGUUGGGGUGGCGGAAGUGUAUGGUGGGUAAGCCUAUGCGGUAGUGGUGGUGGUGGUUGAUGAAGAAGCAACUGUCCCUAAGUAGCCUAGACACAUUAGGAGACUCAAAUCACUCCCCAAGCAACCACUAAUGCGAAGGGGAACAAAAUUGGUGAGGUUGCGGAAGUCGGUGGUGGUGUAGCGGAUGAUGUGGUGGAAGACCUAGGCAAAGAUGCGAAAGUUCACAAAAUUUGAUGGAUUCAAAAGAUGUUGGUGGUAUUUUUGUGGGAAGGGGGAUGUCAAGAGCUUCAAAACGAGCUAAAGAACGUCAAAAUCGGAGUUUGGAUGAAUUAGUUAUGGACGAAACAAAAUUUCAGCGAAGUCAGUUUUUCAGGUUAUGGACGUCCGUAAAAUGACGGAUGUCCGGGGGCCGGACGUCCGGGCAGGCUCGGAAAUCUGUAAACUUGGCUCAGGUUAGGGGUUCCGGAUGUCCAGAAAAGGUCGGAUGUCCGGUGUUUCCUAGGGCUCUGGACGUCUGUAAAACGUCGGUCGUCCGGUGGGUCGGGGUCAACGCGAGAUGCGAGUUUCGGGACGCGAUUUUGGACGUAAUUUGGGGAUUUUAGGGUCAAAAUUCAGGAGAUUUCAUGGAUGGAAAGUGGGGAAACUUGGGGAGAUGCUAGAUCCACUUGAAACCAAGCAAAUCCGUGGAUCAAAUCUAACAAAACUUCAUCAAACUAACAAAUCACAAAAAUUGGGGCUAUUUUUGUGGGGAAUUUUCGAAUUAGGGACAAAAUCAACAAAAACAAGGCUAGAAACACAACGGGGAGGCUCCGAAAUAGUGAUCAACGUGGCUCUAGAUACCAAGAUGAUGUAGGGUGGAACCCUAGAUAGCCAAUCUUUCACGAAAGGAGCGGAUCCCAACGAGGAACACGAAGAAUACAAGGGAAAACACGAGGGAAAACGCGAGAUAAUCACUCAAACCAACAAGAUACGGUCACACAUAUGCUCGAUCCUCGAAACACAAAGAGAUACAUGAUCCAAAUCCAACAAAGGAUGAUACAUAGGGUAACCGGUUCUUCUCUGUAAGGAGGUCUUGAAUCCACGGGGGAUCUUCCCGUGAGGGGUCUUGAAUCCAAGAUGGAUCUUCUCCGAAGAGGGGCCGCAGUCUCUCUCGUGGAGUAGAUCUGUAAUGGAUGAGUAAAGCUCUAUCUCUAAUGAGCUACUACUUUGCCAACCCUAGAAAGGAGGUGGAGGUGGUCUAUUUAUAGUCUUAGCCACGAAGGGGUAAGUGGGAGAGGGGUACAAGGCCAAAGGCCCACGGCUACGCACAGGCAGGUACUGGACGACCGGUGGGGGUUGGACAUCCGGUGGCUCAGGACGGUUCGGACGUCCGGCGCACGUCGGAUGUCCGUUGAUUCUUCUCGGGUGUAGUGGCACCGGUCGUCCGGGCGGCGCCGGUCGUCCGGGCGCUGGGACUCGUCGGACAUCCGGUAUUCGUCGGGCAUCCGGAUGCUGUAGCACUCAUCGCCUAGAGUUCUUCUGGCCGUCUGGGCUGCACCAGGUACCGGAUGUCCGGUGGCGUCCAAACGUUCGGUGGCUGUAGCUUGUAGCAGCUCCGUCUUCUUCCGUCUUCGUUUCCACACUUCCCUCGCGGAUGGUGUAGGUGUUCCUUGGCGCUUGCACUCCUCCAUGUCGUCCGUAGCGUUCCGACAAUACCUAUGCAUGCACACGGGAGAAGUGUCAAGUAGUAUACCAUCCUCGAAGGGGUCAAGUGAACACGCGUAAAGGAGAUGAUUCACCUUUGUGUAUGUGGAGUGGAUGUCGAAUGUGUCACUUGCCAAAUGGACUCUUGACAUGGUGAUGUCCGUGGGAUGCUCUGCAUCAUCUUGUCAACCUUCAAUGCCCAUGAAAGGUACUCUUCGGGAUUAUUGCUUCCAAAAAUCUUGGGCAUGGUGAACUUGAGUUUGUCGUAGCAUUGCUCUUCAUUGUGUUGGGGUCGAGGGUGAUGACGUCCUUGACGAGGAGGAUUGUCUCCCUCAACUUGCUCUUGGUGUGGAGGAUUCCCAUUGUCUUGUUGCUCUUGGCGAAUGUGUGGUUCUUGCCAAGCUUGUGGAGGAGCUUGUGGAACUUGUCGGUGCAAUUGUGCUUGAUAGUUCCUUUCUUGAACUUCAUCGCGAAGUGCUUCUUAUUGCUCACGAGUAUGUCGGUUGCGUGUGGCAACGGCACGACUUGUGUAUCGAAGGGCACAUUGCACCUCAAGUGCUUGAGCUUCUCGUCGUUGUUGUUGUUGACAGAGAGUUUAGGCAUCUUGCUCGUCUUGGUGUUGGCAUGCUCGCUCUUCCUCUUGUUGGUGUAGGCGUUGCCAUUCUUGUGCUUGCGCAAAGGUAGCUUGAUUUUAACGAUGUCGAUGUUUUUGCGCUAGAAGUUGCUCUUGAGGAUCGGUGUCGUGUAGAGGAUUGCGGUUUACUUGAUGGUCUUGGCGCGUGGCUCGACAAAGAGUGUUCGACGUCGAUGUACUUGAGCCGGAGAUGGUGUCGUCGGAGUGUCGACUCGAUAUAACACCCACGAUGCGGCUAUAUCUCCCACGUGUCGGAGCACGACUUAGAGGCAUAACCGCAUUGUAGACAAUGUCGCAAGAGGGGUAAUCUUUACACAACCCAUGUACUGAAUAAGAAAGAGGUACAUAGCUGGCUUACAAUUGCCACUUCACACAAUAACAUAAAUAUAGCAUUACAAUCAUCCAGAUACAAUCAAGGUCCGACUACGGAACCAAAAUAAAGACAACCACAAAUGCAUAAGAUCCCCGAUCGCCCCAACUGGGCUCCACUACUGUUCAUCUGGAAAGGAAACGUAGUAACAUCGUGAGUCCUCAUCGAACUCCUACUUGAGCUCAGUCGCAUCUUCUGGAAUGACAUCAUCGGCACCUGCAUCUGGUUUUUGGAAGUAAUCUAUGAGUCACGAGGACUCAGCAAUCUCACACCCUCGCAAUCAAGACUAUUUAAGCUUAUGGGUAGGUAAAAGAUAUGAGAGGUAGAGCUGCAGCAAGCACUAGCAUAUAUGGUGGUUAACAUACGCAAAUGAGAGCGAGAAGAGAAGGCAAAGCACAUUCGAGAAUCUAUGAUCAAGAAGUGAUCCUAGAAAUACUUAUGUUCAAGCAUAACCCGAGACCGUGUUCUCUUCCCGGACUCCGCCGAAAAGAGACCAUCACGGCUACACACGUUGUUGAUUCAUUUUAAUUAAGUUAAGUUUCAGGUUUUCUACAAUCGGACAUUAACAAAUUCCCAUCUGCCCAUAACCACGGGCACGGCUUUCGAAAGUUCAAAUCCCUGCAGUGGUGUACCAACUUAGCCCAUCACAAGCUCUAACGGUCAUCAGACUCGGAAUCCCGGUUACAAGACAUCUCAAAAAUGCUAAAACUAAACCAUCAAAGCCACCCGAAUGUGCCAACAAAUCCCGAUAGGAGCUGCACAUAUCUCGUUCUCAGGGCACACCGGAUUGUCCAAGGUUCGGUAGGCCAGCCCAGAGUUGCCCCUGGUUGCCACCGGCAGCUGACAGGUUGGACCAACACUCAGAGGAGCACUGGCCCGGGGGUUUAAAAUAAAGAUGACCCUUGAGUCCGCAGAACCCAAGGGAAAAAGGCUAGGUGGCAAAUGGUAAAACAAAUGUUGGACCUUGCUGGAGGAGUUUUAUUCAAGGUGGACUGUCAAGGUGUUCCCAUUAUACCCAACCGUGUAAGGAACGCAAAAUCAAGGAACAUAACACCGGUAUGACGGAAACUAGGGUGGCAAGAGUGGAACAAAACACUAGGCAUAAGGCCGAGCCUUCCACCCUUUACCAAGUCUAUAGAUGCAUUAAAGUAGACAAGGCAUAAUAGUGAUAUCCCAACAAUAAACAUGUUCCAACAAGGAACAAACUCCAAUCUUCACCAGCAACUAGCAACGCUAUAAGAGGGGCUGAGCAAAGUGGUAGCAUAGCCAAACAAUGGUUUGCUAGGACAAGGUGGGUUAGAGGUUUGACAUGGCAAUAUGGGAGGCAUGAUAAAGCAAGUGGUAGGUAUCGUAGCAUAGGCAUAGCAAUAGAGCGAGCAACUAGCAAGCAAAGAUAGAAAUGAUUUCGAGGGUAUGGUCAUCUUGCCUGCAGAGUUCUCCGAGUUGACGUAAGCUUGAUCCUCGUAACCGUACUCAACGGAUUCCUCGUUCAUGUACUUGUCUCCCGGCUCUACCCAAAGCAAGAACACAAGCAAAGGGAACCACGAUCAACCACGGUGCAAUGCACAAGCAACAUGAUGCGAGACAUGGCAUGAUAUGCGGGAUGUGAUAUGCAAUGCAUAUGCAUGCUCCGGAAGGAAAGGAUUGAACCAGGCCUCAACUUGGCAAACCAAGCGCGCCGCUGGAAAGAUGGGUUGAUUUCGGUCAAAAUUGAUAUAAAGAUCACCGGAAUCGGAUGCACGGUAUGCAAAUGGCAAGCAAAACAAUAAUGGCACAAAGUUGCGAUUAACAGCAUGAUGCCAUCUAGAAUGCAUCAAGAAAAUAAGCUACUGCACUCUAACAUAGCAACAAAGCACAUGGAAGUGAUCCACUCAAGAUUCUUGACAAAAUAUGAACACUAAGCUACGACUAAAUCACCCAAUAGCAGGUUCAAACAAGCAUGGCAAAAGUGCAAAAGAUAUCAGGUUCACAGACUUCGUGAAAAUAACAACAUGCCAGGAUUUAACAUCAGCAAGCAAUGUUUAGAGCAAGAUAACAACAUGCUACAGGAACAUAUCAUGGCAAAGCAAGGCAUGGCAUGAAACUACUCAAAGCAUAUAACAAAAGUCCCUUACUGACCAUAAGCCAAAAAGGAUCAGAAAAUACAAUGGCAACCACGUAAACAUAGAAAGUUUCGUUAGCAGAUUCAGACUUUGCAGAAAACUGGAACAUGGCAAAACAGAGUUACGUAGGCAUGUUUGCGAGCUCGAUGCACUCACCAAAAGGCAUUGCAUGACAAACUAAGUAUACACCCAGUAGGAAGACAUGAUCAAUAAGCUAACCAUGGCAAGAACACUCUCAUAGCAUGCAUGGAACAACUACAACAACCUCGGCAAAAUUGAUUAACACGUAAACAAUCCGCCAGGAACAUUUUAUAGCAAAAGUAGAGCAAGAUUGAGUCAUGCUAGGGUGCUCCAUAAUUGCAAACAAAGACAUGGAUGGAUAGAGCAUAAAAAUAUCUCAAAAUCAUCCUUACUGAACAUGCUCAAAAGAGGCAUGGAUAACUCUGUAGCAACAUGAAUACAUGGCAUAAAAAUAACAUCAGGGAAAUGACUUGGAAGAAUUCUAAGUCCCUGAAAUCAGCAACAUCAUGAGAGCUACUUUGCAUGCUUGUGCUAGUCACCACAAAGAUCACAAAAAUACAUGGCAUACACCCCUGUAAAGAUGGCAUGGCAUAGCCCAAAACACAUGUAGGGCUCAAGUUCAUAGGAGGCACACAUUAAACAUGGCAAAAAUGACAAAUGUCCAUAAUCUGAUAAGAAUCAGAAACAUUACAUAGUACUCUUACAACAGCAUUUAGGGCAUCAAGAUGAGCUCAAAUGAACAUGGUGCAAUGGAAUUAAAUGAAGUACACAUCUAGACGAACAAUUUGAUAUGCUACACACCCAAAACGGAGCUACAGAUGCAAAGUUAUGACAUGAUGAAAAUGCCUAAAAAUACUGAAAACUUAGGGGAAAACGAGGUCAACCCUAGGGUUACUGUAGCAGAUCUGGAUUGGGCGCGUUGGACGAGGUUCGACGGGGCCUUCGCCGGAGUUGAGCGUGAAGGAGGAAGGAGAAGGCCGAAGUGGAGAUCCGGCGUCGCGGAGCUCGCCGGUGGGCGGGGGCAGAGCCGGNNNNNNNNNNNNNNNNNNNNNNNNNNNNNNNNNNNNNNNNNNNNNNNNNNNNNNNNNNNNNNNNNNNNNNNNNNNNNNNNNNNNNNNNNNNNNNNNNNNNNNNNNNNNNNNNNNNNNNNNNNNNNNNNNNNNNNNNNNNNNNNNNNNNNNNNNNNNNNNNNNNNNNNNNNNNNNNNNNNNNNNNNNNNNNNNNNNNNNNNNNNNNNNNNNNNNNNNNNNNNNNNNNNNNGGCGGCCGGAGCACCGGGCGGCGCUGGCGCGGGUCGCCGGAGAUGGGGAGAGCGGCGCGGCCGACGAGGUAGCAGAUCGGCGGCAGGGCAAAGGAGCGAGGCGGUAGAGCGGACGGACUUCGCACGGGCCGGGAGGGCCCCGCCUGGGCCUCGGCGGGCCGGGGCGCGGGCAGGAGCGGUGGUGUGGGAGCAGGGCGGCGGCGAAUCCGGCGAUGACGUGUGGCGGCGGACGGCGGGAUUUUUGUCCGGCGCCGCCCGGACACGUCUGGCGGCGUGGAGGGGAUUGGAAGCUAGGGUUUCAUCCGGAUUUUGGAGAGGGUUGCACAUAUUUAUAGGUAGAGGGAUUUUGGAGUGUCCAAAUGAGGUGUGGUUUUUGUCCACACGAUCAUGAUUGAACAACCGAGAUGAUGGAGGGGGUUUAGGUGGGUUUUGGGCCACUUUGGAGAGGUGUUGGGCUGCAACACACACAAGGCCUUUACGGUUCCUCGGUUAACCGUUGGAGUAUCAAACGAAGUCCAAAUGGCAUGAAACUUGACAGGCGGUCUACCGGUAGUAUACCAAGGCCGCUCGGCAAGUCUCGGUCCAAUCUGAGAAUGUUUAACACCCGCACAUGAAAAGAGGCAAAAGGGGACACCGGAGGACAUAGGAGCGCCUGAAUGCAAAACGGACAACGGGGAAAAUGCUCAGAUGCAUGAGACAAACACGUAUGCAAAUGUGAUGCACAUGAUGACAUGAUAUGAGAUGCACGACAAAGACAAAGAACAAAACAAAGACAAAACCCAACCAUGAGGGAAUAUCAUAACUUAGUGCCGGAAAUGGCAAGAGUUGGAAUACAAAUAUGGCAAGUUACAUAUGGGGCGUUACAACACUCCACCACUACGAAAGGAUCUCAUCCCGAGAUCUAGGACUGGAAAAACUCCGAGUAUUCGGAACGGAGGUGGUCCUCGUGUUCCCAGGUGGCUUCAUGGUCAGAAUGAUGUGACCACUUCACUUUCAGGAAUUUGAUAGACUUGUUGCGAGUCUUGCGCUCAGUUUCUUCAAGAAUAGCAAUGGGAUGCUCAUGAUAAGACAGGUCUUCUUGGAGAUCAAUCUCUUUGAAGUUGAUGGUGCGGUCAGGAGUCUUGAAACACUUGCGAAGCUGAGACACGUGAAACACGUCGUGCACGUUUGCAAAGUUGGAUGGAAGCUCAAGUUGAUAGGCGAGAUCGCCUCUUUUGCCAAUGAUCUUGAAAGGACCAACGUAUCUAGGGGCAAGCUUCCGUUUGAUACUGAAGUGACGAGUACCUUUCAUUGGAGUGAUGCGGAGGUAGACAUGGUCUCCGAUCUCGAAAGCCAAGUCAUGAUGCUUGCUCUCAUAGUAACUCUUCUGGCGCGAUUGCGCGGAUUUGAGAUUUUCACGAAUGACUUUGCACAUUUCCUCAGCCUCUGUGAUCAAGUCAUUGCCAAGAAGUUGGCAUUCACCAGUCUCUGACCAGUUAAGAGGAGUACGACACUUCCUGCCAUGGAGAAUCUUGAAUGGGGCCUUGCCCGAACUCGCUUAAAAGCUGUUGUUGUAGGAGAACUCGGCAUAUGGAAGACAAUCUUCCCACUUCAUACCAAAAGAAAAGACACAUGCCCUGAGCAUAUCUUCAAGAAUUUGAUUGACUCGCUCGACUUGGCCACUAGUUUGAGGAUGAAAAGCUGUGCUGAAGCGAAUGUUGGUGCCCAUGGCCUUCUGGAAGGAAUUCCAAAACUUAGAAGUAAAGAUGCUUCCACAAUCUGAAGAUAUCAACUGUGGAAUGCCAUGCAAGGAGACAAUCCUGGAGGUAUAUAGCUCUGCCAACUGAGCUGCUGUGAUAGAUUCUUUGAUAGGAAGAAAAUGAGCCACUUUGGUGAGCUUGUCGAUGACAACAAAGAUAGCAUCAUUGCCACGCUUGGACUUUGGAAAUCCAGUCACGGAGUCCUCAAUAUGGUCAAACUUCCAUUCUGGAAUGGCAAGAGGUUGGAGGAGACCAGCUAGUCGUUGGUGUUCUGCUUUCACUCUUCUGCAGACAUCACAUUCAUUCACGAACUAAGCAAUCUCGCGCUUCAUUCGAGUCCACCAAUAUGACUGCUUGAGGUCAUGGUACAUCUUUGUACUUCCAGGAUGAAUAGACAUGAGUGAAUUGUGAGCCUCGUUCACAAUGACUUUACGAAGGUCACCCUUAGGAACAACAAUGCGAUCCUCGAAGAAUAGAGUAUCCUUGUCAUCAAGGCGAUAGCACUUGUACUUGGAUUGACUCUUGGCAAUCCCAAUCUUCACCUUCUUCACCAUAGCAUCAAGAAGUUGAGCCUCAUGAAUCUGAUCUUCCAAAGUAGGAGAGACUUGGAGGUUGGCAAGGAAUCCUUGAGGAACAACUUGGAGAUUAAGUUUGCGGAAAGCUUCACAAAGCUCCGGUUGGAAGGGCUUGAGAAUCAAACUGUUGCAGUAAGCCUUUCUGCUCAAUGUGUCAGCAAUGACAUUGGCCUUGCCUGGAGUGUAUUCAAUACUCGGAUUAUACUCUUGAAUCAUUUCGACCCAACGAGUCUGCCUGAGGUUGAGGUUGGGCUGAGUGAAGAUGUACUUGAGACUCUUAUGAUUAGUGAAGAUGUCCACUUUCCUUCCCAACAAGAGAUGUCUCCAUGUUAAAAGAGCAUGGACAACUGCCGCCAACUCGAGGUCAUGAGUGGGGUAGUUCCUUUCGUUGGGCUUCAACUGGUGAGAGGUAUAGGCCAUGACUUUCUCCUCUUGCAUUAACACAGCACCGAGACCUUGUAGGGAAGCAUCACAGAAAACCUCGAAUGGUUUGGAUUCAUCAGGAGGAGUCAGAACUGGAGCUGUGACUAACUUCUCUUUGAGGGUGUUGAAAGCGAUGUCACAUUCAGGCGUCCAGACAUACUUCACAUGCUUCUGGAGAAGGUUGGAAAGAGGCUUCGCGAUCUUAGAGAAAUUCUCAACGAACCUUCGACAAUAGCUUGCGAGCCCAAGGAAGCUGCGGAGUUGCUUCACAUUCUGAGGCGGUUCCCAAUUCACAAUUGCAGACACCUUCUCAGGAUUAACAGCUAUGCCCUUGGCGGAGAUGAUAUGCCCAAGGUAGAGAACCUCACCGAGUCAAAACUCGCACUUUAAAAACUUCGCAUAGAACUGAUGUUCUCUGAGUUUGUCCAGCACCAAUCUCAAGUGCUUGGCAUGAUCCUCCUUGUUCUUGGAAAAGACCAAAAUGUCAUCGAGGUAGACCAAGACGAAGUCAUUUGUGUAUGGGUUGAAGAUGAAGUUCAUCAUGCGAGAGAAUGUUGGAGGAGCAUUGACAAGGCCGAAAGACAUGACAGUUUAUUCAUAGGAACCAUAGCUUGUUCUGAAUGUUGUCUUGGGGUUAUCUUGUUCACGAAUGCGAAUUUGAUGAUAGCCCAUACGGAGGUCAAGCUUUUUUUUUGACUGUACACAGUAGGGCAAAACCCCACUGCAAUUUUUUAUAUUAAUAAAGAAAGAAAAAACAAAGGUCCAACAGUACUAAGGCUUGAGGUAAGCCCUAGAAAAAAGAAAGAAAAACCAAAACAAAACAAACUUAAAAAAAAUUACAAAUUACAGAACAAGAUGGUCAAGCCAAUCACAGAAAGCCCUAGCAUAACUCUUUUUAAUCCUGAAUCUGAGCAAGUAAAUCUCUUCAAGGAAGAUUGCUUUCCACCUCUGAACUGAAGGUUGAAUUGCUUAAAAGAUGAGAUUAUUUCUUGAAAUCCAGAUGGCCCAAGAAGCGAGGAUGAUGAUUUCCAUGAAGAAAGGUACAUGUAAUUUUUGUCUGAGGUCAUCAAAAGCUUCAAGCACAGAAACAUGAGCUUGUCUUGUAGGGCAUAAUAGAUCCCAGCACUGGGAGGCAAAAGGACAGGUCCAAAAGAGAUGCUGCAAUGUUUCCUCCUGAGGACAAUUAUGGACAGUACAGUUGUAGCUUUCCAAAUGAAAUGUUUUCCUGCGCAGAAGGUUCCUGGUAUUAAGCCUAUCAUGAAGUAACCUCCAGAAGAACACCUUGUGUUUGGGCUGGCACGAACUAUUCCAAAUCCAGUUAAACUGCUGGGGCACUAUUUUAACUCCCAUCAUUACUUUAUAAGCCUGAGCAACCGAGAAUUGGUCAUUGCCCCAAAUGUAGCUCCAGGUGUCAGUGCAAUCCAGGGUGGCAGAGGUUCUUAAAGCAAUACAAAUGUCUUCCAUAUUUUCAAAUUCCUGGAAGGCUUCCACAGUGAGUGGAAGGUGGAAUAAAUCUUCCAGGAAUUCAGUAUGAAUAAUGGUGUGCACAGUAGUGUUGUUGUUCUUCACAAAGGAGAAGAGGUGUGGGAACAAGUCUUGUAAACAAGCUGAGUGCCAUAAAUCAGACCAAAAUAAAGCACUUUUACCAUCCCCUAUGUGACAUCUGGCCAAUGAUUUAAAGUUGUCAAUGAGCUUGAGGUUUGCCUUCCACCAAAAAGAUCCAACCCAAGAAUUGCCAGGCAACACACCAUUACUAUAGUAGGUUUCCCAAAUCAAAUUGACCCAUGGGAUGUUGUGCCUAUUAUAAAAUUUGUGCAAGUUCUUGAGCAGAAGGGCUUUGUUCUAAACAAAAAUAUCCUUGACCCCCAAGCCUCCUUGAUCCUUAGGUCUACAAACAGUACUCCAAGCAACCAUAGCAGGUCUGUGGUCCUCUAGAUCAGGACCUCUCCAUAAACAAUGCCUCAAGUACUUGAUAGCUUGGGUUUUAAUAGUCACAGGGACAUCAAGGCAUCCCAUAAGGUAGAUCAAAAGAGAGUUUAAGACAGAUUUCACUAGUAACAGUCUGCCAGCCAGUGUCAUGAAGGAAGAUAAGCCCACAAGCUUCUUCUGCAGUCGUGUGACAAGUGGAAAGCAUUGCUCCACAGUUGGUUUAUGAAGACCCAAGGGUGCUCCCAAGUACUGGAUGGGAAAUGAUUCUCUUUUGCAGUGGAAGGUAUUUGUCAAAAUUUCCACCUUGUCUUCUGAAACAUUAAUUGGGAUGAGGCUUGACUUGUUGUAGUUCACUUUCAGACCAGUAGCAUCUGCAAACGUAUUGAGGAGUGCUUUUAGGCAAUGGAGCUGCUUUGCAUCAGCUUGUAGAAGAACCAGAGUGUCAUCAGCAUACUGGAUAAUAGGAAAAUCAGGGCAUGACUCCACUUGCAGAGGUGAUGUGAGUAAACUCAAGUGCAUGGCUUUAUUGAGAAUUGACUGGAGCAAAUCAGCAGCCAACACAAAUAAGAGAGGGGAUAGAGGGUCUCCUUGCCUUACCCCUCUGAGACAGUAAAACUUUUUGCCUGGUACACCAUUAAGCAAGAUGGCAGAUGAUGCAGAAGUAAACAGCAUUUUAAUCCAGUUUAUCCAUUUGUCUCCAAACCCUUUGGCCUUUAAGAUAUCCAAAAUUGCCUGGUGCUCAAUGGUGUCAAAAGCCUUCUCAAAAUCUAGUUUGAGGACAAUAACUUCUUCUCUGAAUUUAUGGCAUUGAUGAAGAUACUCAAAUGCCCAGCCCAAGCAGUCAUGGAUGGAUCUUUCCUUUAAGAAUCCAUAUUGAUUGAUAUGCACCAGUUUGAGAAUCACUUUUUGCAACCUAUUGGCCAACAAUUUGGUGACAAGUUUAAGACAGCAAUUAAGUAGAGAGAUUGGCCUGAAGUCAUUUGCUGUCAGAGGAAUACUUCCUUUAGGGAUCAGGGUGAUGUAGGAGGUGUUUAAGCUCUCAAUUGAGAUUUGCCCAGCAUGAAAAUCCUGAAUAAAUCUAAACACAUCCACUUUAAUAAUAUCCCAACAGGAUUUGAAAAAUUCAUUGUUGAAGCCAUCAGGGCCUGGUGAUUUGUCAAGUGGGAGAACCUUGACAACAGCAUUGAUUUCUUCCUCAGUGAAAGGUAGCUCCAAGUUGUCAAAAAUGGCUUGGUCCUGCCUGGGUCCAAAUAAGGAUUCCAAAUCAAAGUGCAUUGUUGUUUUGUGAGAUGUGCCCAUUCUUUUCUUAUAAGAUUCCCAGAGUAUUGUAGCUUUCCCAGCAUGAUCUGAAAUUUCCACUUGGUCAUCAUUUUGAAGAACAGCAAUAUGAUUGUGCCUGUGAUUGAUAGAUGCUUUAGUAUGGAAAAAUUUUGUGUUCUCAUCUCCAAAUUUGACCCCUUUAAUUUUACCCCUUUGCUUCCAGUAAAUCUUUUGAUUCCUCAGAAGAAGUAGCAACUGAUCUUUGAGAAUGGCCCUGCAGUUCCAUUCAUGAAUUUCCAAUUCUCUAAAUUCCUCAAAGAAAUCCCAUAGAAAGAUGAGCUCAUUGAGUUUAGCAAUUUGAGCUCUCAAACAAGAUAAAGACUUGGCCCACAACUUUAAAGCUCUCCUCAAGUUUUUAAAUUUAGCAUUCAAACUUUUAACUGCAUCAAGAUUUCCCACUGGUAUGCUCCAAGCAGCAGCAACCACCUCCUUGAAGUCUGAGUGUUGCAACCAAUAGUUUUCAAAUCUAAAGACUCUUGCUUUUGGGAUUGCAGUGCCAAUUUUAAUAACACAAGGCAAGUGAUCAGAAAUAGGUUUUGCAAGAGGGAACACAAUAGUGUUAGGGAAAGAGGUCAUCCAAGAGGCAGAAGUGAAAAACCAAUCCAGUUUGACCAAUAGAGGGUCCUGUUGCAUGUUACUCCAACUGAACUUUCUUCCCUGCAAAGGUAACUCAAUUAAGCCUUGAUUGCUGAUUGCCUCAUUAAACAAAAGCAUGUCAUUCACAUCUCCACCAGGUCUGUUUCUGUCUGAAGGUGCCCUCAUAAAAUUAAAGUCGCCCAUAAGAAUCCAGUCUACAUCUGCAGGCAUAUGAAUGUUCAAGAACCAAAUAAUGAAAUCCACUUUAUCCUGUGGGUCACAAGGACCAUAUAUGUUAGUUAGGAUCCAUGACUGAUUGGACUGCAAACUGGUGAACUGAACCGAGGGAGAGAAUCUGUUCUGUGCAAUAACUUCUCCAGUAAACUGUGUACCAUUCCAAGCAACAAGCAAUCCCCCAGAAGCACCAACAGAUGGGAGGAAAGCAAAUUUAUUAAUUCUGUUAGGACAGAAGUUUUUAAUGUAAGCUGUAUCAAAAGAAUCUCUUUUAGUUUCUUGAAGGCACAAAAUGUUACAAUUACUCUCAUCAAUUUUUUGCCUUAGAGCCAACCAUUUGUCUUCAGAAUUCAUCCCUCUAAUAUUCCAGUUUAGGAUACUCCAGUUUCUGUUUGUGUUAUUCAUUAAAACAAUAGAAGUUUUUGCACCAGAAAUCAAGUACCAACACUUGAUCAGCCAAGAGGAAGCACAAAAAGCACAGAGCCAGGAAGCAGAACACACCACAAUUGCAGCACAACAGCCAUAAACCACACAGCUCAUAGGUCUUAAUAGUAGAGUACACCAUCAGAUCAACAAGUUCCAUAUAGAGCCAAACUUCCCUCAAUACAUCAGAAAUUAAGAAAGCCCAGUAAGAGCAACAAGGUCCAAAAGCACUGCUCCUAAAAACCCUAAGCCAGCAGAUGACCACUAUCAUCAGGAAGUGUUGGAUGGAUUGUCCUCUCCCUUGGUCAGGGAUACCUUGACCAGGUCUUCAUCUAGCCUUCUCCUGGGCUUUUUAGCCAGCUUGUCCUCCAGUUCCCUCUCAGCAACCUUAUAGAAAGAAGCAGUAAGGUUUUUAACAACUGACUUUUGAAUGAUUGGAGGAGCAGCAUUGCAAGGCAAACAGUUAUUAUUUGAGCAGGAAUUCCUUCUGAAACCAGCAUUAUCCUUUUUAAUUCUAUCACUUCUUCUUACCUCAGUUUCAACUAGGGGAGUCUUCCCAUUCCUUCUCUUCCUCAAAUUGUCAGAGCCAAAAGGAUGCAGUAGGUCCUGGGAUUCCACAUCCUGCAUAUUUGGGGCCUGUCCAAUAUUUUCCUUGCCCUGAUCAUAAUUAACUUGCUCAUCAGUGUUAAUUGCCUGACAAAUAGGUGCAUGAGUAGCAGGACACUUAUGAGGAAUGUAAAAUAGAAAAGCAUGAUCCAUGUUUUCCACUGCAGAGACAAGUUCCCACAUUCCAGAUUUUAACAUCUUGACAGUCCAAUCAAACUUAUCAGGGGACAGGAGAAGGUGGACAAUAAAGUUAAACCAACUUACAGGAAUGUUGGCAGUGAAAGAACUCUUAUUUUCCACAUGCUCCUCCUGGAAGUGCUUUUUCCACAACAAAAGACCUUCUUCAGAAACAGCAAGAGCAUUAUUAGCAGAUUCAGCCAUUUGAAUACAUUUCAGACCAAGAAGAGAAGGUGCCAUGCUGAAGUGCUCAUCAAUUCUGUUAACCCAGUUACCUUGGAGCCCAGGUUGAAGAUCCUCCAGGUUUGCAACUGGCUCCAGGCUUCCUCUUGAAGUAUUGACAGGUCCAGUGUUGCCCAACAGGUCCCUGGAGCACCCUGGGGCAGAACAGGAACCAGGCCAGAAUCCACUGCAGGUCCAAAUUGCUGGAUAAUGGCAGAUGAUUCCAAAGCUUGAGCAAUAGGUGAGAAGCUAACUGCAGCAAUCUCCAAAAGGUUUGCAGCAACUUGAUCAUGGGGAAGUUCAGCUGGCAAAGCAGCAUGCAGGUGUUGUUCUUGCAUCAGAGGAGGCUCUUCAUCAUCAGAUUGGUAAGUCUGGAUGAUGUUCUGCAGUCCAUCUGCAACCAUAAUGACAGGAGGUGCAACAACUGGCUCAGCAUAAAUAGGUUGGGGAAUCACAGCAAGUGCAGGUGGCAACAGGAAAUUGGAAUUGCCUCCUUCAGAAAAAGACAUAUCUGAAGAUAAGCUACUGUUACUGACUGCAGGUAGCAGGUCUUCUCCAUCAGCCCAAGCCAAUUCUUCCUGCUCCACAGCAUCUAAGAGGUCCUCUAGGGCAGCAUUGUGGUUAUCCUGCUGUGGUAAAUUCCAUUGCCCCCAGUCAUCCUCAUUCUGAUCAUCCAUAGGUACACUGUUAACAGCAUCAUUAUGGAAACCAUUACCUUGCUCAACAUCUUCAGGAAGUGGGUGUGGGUCCACAUUGUUAGGAGGAAUUGGGUCCUCAUCUGCUGGUCCCCCACCAAGCAACUCACUAGCUAGAAUUUCAAUGGAAGAAGACCAACCGUCUUACUCAAACUCAUCCCCUUCAGACCAUCUCAUACUCUUAGGAAUAAUAUCCAAGUUCAUGACUCUCGCUUUCACUACAAUGCGGCCCAUGUGGUCAUCCUCCUUAUCCCAAGAGAUCAUACGGCCAAACUUACUGACAGCACAUGCAAGAUCUUCAGUGUUUUGAAAAUCAAAAGGCACUCCUGUGAGUAAUAACCAGACAGUUCUAUUGAAAUGAACCCUUCUAUGGUUUCUGCCUUCAUCAUGCUUCACAAAAGAGAUGAACACAUCACCAAAUUCAUGUGGACUGUCAAGCACCAACUUAUCUCUAUCUCUAACCCUCGUCAGACGCACAUAAGCCUCACCAAAGGGACAGCGUUGAAUGUCUCUCAACCCCAACUGCCUAUGCUCAACAAUAAACUCUUCAAGAACAUCUCUUACAUUGGGGAAAGGAGCAUCAGCGGGCAGAGGAUGGAUUGUAGCGAUUGCCCAGUCUUCGUGACGACGAGGCCGCUGAGGGAGCACCACCCGCGCCACCGCAUUGCAACUAGGAACUUGCUGAAUGUCAAAGCCGUGAGGCACAAAAGGCCGUGGAUCAAUUGGGAUAUUGGCCAUCGGCACCGCCACACUAACUCUCAAUGACGACGGUGAGCUCGAGGUACCCGAAGUAGGGUUGGUGAGCUGGAGAGGAGCAGGGGGGGCAGAGCGCAGAAGUUGAGGAGGCAAGGGCAAUUCGGGGCUGAAAAUUAGGAAAAGAUCCCUUACAUAGCUGACUAAAAGAGGAAACCACCGAGGGAUCACGGGCCGGGCCGGAAGACUUAAACCAAUCGUGGACCGCUUCCAUGUCCCACGCCUCGACUGGUGGGCUGGGAAAGUAGCGAAUCGAAGGAAAGGAAACAGCCCAGGUAGAUGUUGCUCACCACACUCCCUGGCAAAGUGGCCCAAUUUGCCGCAAGCAUAGCACUGUAAUCUGUCAUUUGAAAAGCCCUGAUUCCCGCUCUGAGAAACCGGCGCGUUAACCUCGCCUGAGGUAUUAAGAUCAUGCAUUAUGGGCUCAUUAUUGACAGAGACCUCAUUAUUGCUGGAGCACGGAAUACCCGCGAGACGAGAAAAAACCGACGGCCGGAGUUGCUCACCGGAGACAUUGCCGGCAGCAGCCCGCGGGCGAUAACCAUUAGUAACAAAGGUCCAAGAAGCUUCCUCUUCACGAUAAAAAAGCUGCUCUUCACGUAGCCAGUUUGGGCCACCAAAACCCCAAAGAUUGAACACUAGCUCAAAAUCCUUUUCGAUCACUCGACCAUGAUUAUAAAUUUCAAAACCCACAGCUUUGGAAGCAACAGAGAACUUGAAAGAUCUGUCCUUAAGGUGAUGCACACGGAAACCCUGAGGAUACCCCCCAAAACAAGAUUGUAGAGUGAUACUAACUGUGUGGCAAUCCAAGCGAAACCUAGCCCGACAGAAGGACACCACCAAAGUGAACUCACGUUGACGAAAACCCGGGGAAAACACCACUGGAUGGCCAAACUUUUGUCGCAUCAAAUGCUGAAACUCUUUACCUCGAGCAAAGUUGAGUGAAGGAGGAUCCAUAGUCAGCUCCCGUGAUCCGUCACAUCCAGAGGAUGGACGAAAAGAUGAAGUGAACUAGCCACAAGGGGCCAAGGACAGAGAGGUUGUGGCCGUCGGCGCCGGAGUGGCAACCAGCGUGAAGAGAAGGUGGCCGCCAGAGCCGUAGAGACCACCGGUGAGGGGAGGAGGUGGCCGCCGGGGCCGGAGUGGCCACCGGCGGGAGGCGCCGAGGAGGAGCCUAGCGGAGGAGCCUAGCCACCUAGCUGUUACAUAUUUCAUCUCUCACGGAGGUCAAGCUUGGAGAAUACUUGAGCACCUUUGAGUUGUUUGAAAAGCUCAUUGAUGUUUGGAAGUGGGUACUUGUUCUUUAUGGUCUUCUUGUUCAAUGGACGUCGACACAAAGUCAGUCCGUUCCAUCCUUCUUCUUGACGAAAAGAACACCACAACCCCAUGGAGAAGAACUUGGUCGGAUCAGACCCAUACGCUCUUGAAUAUCGAGUUGUUUCUUCAGCUCCUUCAACUCUUCUGGUCCAAGCUUGUAAGGACGUUUGCAAACAGGUUCCGUACCAGGCUCAAGAUCAAUGACAAAUUCAACUGGCCGGUGAGGAGGCAUUCCUGGAAGCUCUUCUGGAAAGACGUCUUGAUAUUCACAAAUGACUAGAAUCUAAGAAAUGGCAUCCAACUCGCCCUUCUCAUUGAGAGAAAACAAUCGAAUGGUACCAUCACGAGCGGCAAAGACGAUCACAUCCUCAGACGAGUGUGUCAAUUGAAUCUGGCUGGCAGCACAAUCAAGCUGAGCCUUGUGCUUAGAAAGCCAGUCCAUUCCAAGAAUAAGAUCCAUAUCCGAGUCACCAAGGACCAUUGGAGAAGACAGAAACUUAUAGUCGACCAUCUUGAUGGCAACAUCCGGAACCAUGGAGUUAGUGUUCAUGCGUUUACCUGGUGAGACAACUGCUAACGGACUAGGCAAAACUUGGAAAGCCAACUCAUGCUUAGAUGCAAAUGGUCUUGAGAUGAAACAAUGCGAUGCACCAGUGUUAAAAAGAACUUUUGCAGGAAUAUCGUUAAUAGGAAGGUUACCCAUGAUCACAUCUGAUGAGUCCUCUGCCUGAGCUGCGUUCAUCAAGUUGACCUUGACAUGCUUUGGAUUAUGCUUGACCACUGCAUUGCUGGCAGAUCUCAUAGGAGGAGGAGGAAGACGCCUCUGUUGAAGCAUUUGUUUGCAUAGUGACCUUUCUGCUGACACUUGUUGCACGUGACCUCUGAAAGCGGAUGGUGAUACAGAGCACUUGAUCUUGGAGCAUGAGACGAAGCCUUGUUCUGAAAGCCUGGGUUGAGUGGGUGGGAAGAUCUAUUGCCACCUUUGCUCUUUUGCUGAUAAGGCUGACGGAACGGAGGAGGAGGAGGCAACCAAUACUUUUGUUGCUUAGUUACCACCUGAGUUGAGGAAGAAGAAGGAAUUGCAUCCCUGACUCUCUUCUUGGAAGCACCGCACUUGAGCUGAGCGGCUUCUUGCUUCAGUGCCAUGUUGUAGAAUUCAUCAUACUUUUUCGGCUCAAAAAGCAUAAGGGCAAGUUGCAGAUCUUCUUUGAGGCCACCUCUGAACUGAUAAAUCAUGCUCUUCUCGUCAGGGGCAUCUUGCUUGGCGAAACGAGUGAGCCUCUAGAACAGGAUGUUGUAUUGAUAAACAGACAAGCUGCCUUGCUUCAGAUUGCGGAACUCCUCACGCUUGCUCUCAACAACACUCUGAGGAAUGUGGUGAGCUUUUAAGUCUUGGCAGAAAUCAUCCCAGGUAAUCACACGACCUUCUCUGGAAUCUUUGUAUUGUUGAUACCACUCAGCAGCUUGGUCUUUCAGUUGGAACGAGGCAAACUUGACAAAGUCCUCAGGCCUGACGUUGUUGCACUCGAAAUGUUUGCAGAUAUCCACGAGCCAAUCAUCAGCGUUUGAGGCCUCGACACAGUUACUGAAGGUCUUUGGCUGGUUUGCGAGGAACUGGUUGAGUGUAGCAAACUGAUUUUGAUUGUUUGCAUGGCCUUGAUUUCCUUGGUUGCGCUCUUGCAAGAGUUGCAUAAUCAGCUGCGUGUUGGCGUUGGUAGCGGCCAUUAUAGCUUGCCAUGCCUCCGGAGGUGAAGGUGGUGGUGGUGGAUCCGGAUUCAGACGCGUUGGAGGAGCCAUCCUGAAGAGGGUGACAUCAGUUAGCAUCUUGACAGACAUAUAUUCAAGCUGAAUCAAAUGGAUCGAAAUUGCAACAUAUAGUCUUAACAUUCGAACAAGAAUGAACGAAUGGAUUCCAAAUUAAAUGGUCACACUUCCAUAAAUUGAGAAGCCACUUAGAUAGAGGUAGAUGAAUAAAACAACAAGGUACGGAUAUGAACAAAUACUUGGUGAGGAUUACCCAAUCACAAACCAAAUAUCCACGGAAGAAAUACUAGAGCUACAUGAAUUCCCACCUAUGAAACUCCCGAAACUUUCCGGUUAUGCAAUCAGGUGUUGGGGAUACAGGGGAAGCAUAAUAUCUCACCCAAAACUAGCAAAUCCUACAUCCAGCUGUAUCCAUCCUUCAACACAUAACCAAGAAACCUUCGGAAAUCAUUUACCUCAACCUUCGAAAAGCAUCCGUUAUACGAGUUAUGGUAAUACUCCCGAAGUCCCGCCCCAGUACUAGGUGGCGUCGAGGUUAUCUCACCAACAACUGCAAAAAAGAUAUUUUCGAUGUCGGCGAAACUCAGGUAUUCCAGAACUGCAACGAUAAAAUUGUGAUGACAACACCUCGGAGCUCAACUCCCCGGGACACUGCCACAACCCCUAAAUGUCAGGAGGCACCAAGAACAAUGUUCUCGUCACAAAACCAUCGAAACGAUUCCAAGAUACCCGUGUGAUCCUAAAAAAUUUAGUAAAAUUUGAGAAGAGAAUAGUCAAAACUCUACGUCAGGAUGCCUCACCAGAGCGACGAAGGGACUGAGGAGUAAAAAGAAUCCUACUCUCCGAUAUAUAUAAUCCUAAAAGACUCAAAAAAAAUUUCUAGACUCAACAACGCCAACGAUUCAAUCAAGCAGGGGGCUCCUAAGUCGGGGAAGGCUCUGAUUACCAACUUAUAACACCCACGAUGCGGCUAUAUCUCCCACGUGUCGGAGCACGACUCAGAGGCAUAACCGCAUUGUAGGCAAUGUCGCAAGAGGGGUAAUCUUUACACAACCCAUGUACUAAAUAAGAAAGAGGUACAUAGCUGGCUUACAAUCGCCACUUCACACAAUAACAUAAAUAUAGCAUUACAAUCAUCUAGGUACAAUCAAGGUCCGACUACGGAACCAAAAUAAAGACAACCCCAAAUGCAUAAGAUCCCCGAUCACCCCAACUGGGCUCCACUACUGAUCAUCUGGAAAGGAAACGUAGUAACGUCAUGAGUCCUCAUCGAACUCCCACUUGAGCUCAGUCGCAUCUUCUGGAAUGACAUCAUCGGCACCUACAUCUGGUUUUUGGAAGUAAUCUGUGAGUCACGAGGACUCAGCAAUCUCACACCCUCGCGAUCAAGACUAUUUAAGCUUAUGGGUAGGUAAAAGGUAUGAGAGGUGGAGCUGCAGCAAGCACUAGCAUAUAUGGUAGCUAACAUACGCAAAUGAGAGCGAGAAGAGAAGGCAAAGCACGUUCGAGAACCAAUGAUCAAGAAGUGAUCCUAGAAAUACUUACGUUCAAGCAUAACCCGAGACCGUGUUCUCUUCCCGGACACCGCCAAUAAGAGACCAUCACGGCUACACACGCUGUUGAUUCAUUUUAAUUAAGUUAAGUUUCAGGUUUUCUACAACCGAACGUUAACAAAUUCCCAUCUGCCCAUAACCGCGGGCACGGCUUUCGAAAGUUCAAAUCCCUGCAGGGGUGUCCCAACUUAGCCCAUCACAAGCUCUCACGGUCAAUGAAGGAUAUUCCUUCUCCCAGUACGGCCCGAUCAGACUCGGAAUCCCGGUUACAAGACAUCUCGACAAUGGUAAAACUAAACCAUCAAAGCCGCCCGAAUGUGCCGACAAAUCCCGAUAGGAGCUGCACAUAUCUCGUUCUCAGGGCACACCAGAUUGUCCAAGGUUCCGGUACGCCAGCCCAAAGUUGCCCCUGGUGGCCACCGGCAGCUGACAGGUUGGACCAACACUCAGAGGAGCACUGGCCCGGGGGUUUAAAAUAAAGAUGACCCUUGAGUCCGUGGAACCCAAGGGAAAAAGGCUAGGUGGCAAAUGGUAAAACCAAUGUUGGACCUUGCUGGAGGAGUUUUAUUCAAGGCGAACUGUCAAGGGGUUCCCAUUAUACCCAACCGUGUAAGCAACGCAAAAUCAAGGAACAUAACACUGGUAUGACGGAAACUAGGGCGGCAAGAAUGGAACAAAACACCAGGCAUAAGGCCGAGCCUUCCACCCUUUACCAAGUAUAUAGAUGCAUUAAAGUAGACAAGGUAUAAUAGUGAUAUCCCAACAAUAAACAUGUUCCAACAAGGAACAAACUCCAAUAUUCACCUGCAACUAGCAACGCUAUAAGAGGGGCUGAGCAAAGCGGUAACAUAGCCAAACAAUGGUUUGCUAGGACAAGGUGGUUUAGAGGUUUGACAUGGCAAUAUGGGAGGCAUGAUAAAGCAAGUGGUAGGUAUCGUAGCAUAGGCAUAGCAAUAGAGCAAGCAACUAGCAAGCAAAGAUAGAAAUGAUUUCGAGGGUAUGGUCAUCUUGCCUGCAAAGUUCUCCGAGUUGACGUAAGCUUGAUCCUCGUAACCAUACUCAACAGGUUCCUCGUUCACGUACUUGUCUGCCGGCUCUACCCAAAGCAAGAACACAAGCAAAGGGAACCACGAUCAACCACGGUGCAAUGCACAAGCAACAUGAUGCAAGACAUGGCAUGAUAUGCGGGAUGUGAUAUGCAAUGCAUAUGCUUGCUCCAGAAGGAAAGGAUUGAACCAGGCCUCAACUUGGCAAACCAAGCGCGCCGCUGGAAAGAUGGGUUGAUUUCGGUCAAAAUUGAUAUAAAGAUCACCGGAACCGGAUGCACGGUUUGCAAAUGGCAAGCAAAACAAUAAUGGCACAAAGCUGUGAUUAACAGCACGAUGCCAUCUAGAAUGCAUCAAGAAAAUAAGCUAUUGCACUCUAACAUAGCAACAAAGCACAUGGAAGCGAUCCACUCAAGAUUCUUGACAAAAUAUGAACACUGAGCUACGGCUAAAUCACCCAAUAGUAGGUUCAAACAAGCAUGGAAAAAGUGCAAAAGAUAUCAGGUUCACAGACUUAGUGAAAUAACAACAUGCCAGGAUUUAACAUCAGCAAGCAAUGUUUAGAGCAAGAUAACAACAUGCUACAGGAACAUAUCAUGGCAAAGCAAGGCAUGGCAUGAAACUACUCAAAGCAUAUAACAAAAGUCCCUUACUGACCAUAAGCCAAAAAGGAUCGGAAAAUACAAUGGCAACCAUGUAAGCAUAGGAAGUUUCAUUAACAGAUUCAGACUUUGCAGAAAACUGGAACAUGGCAAAACAGAGUUACAUAGGCAUGUUUGCGAGCUCGAUGCACUCACCAAAAGGCAUUGCAUGACAAACUAAGCAUACACCCAGCAGGAAGACAUGAUCAAUAAGCUAACCAUGGCAAGAACACUCUCAUAGCAUGCAUGGAACAACUACAACAACCUCGGCAAAAUUGAUUAACACGUAAACAAUCUGCCAGGAACAUUUUAUAGCAAAAGUAGAGCAAGAUUGAGUCAUGCUAGGGUGCGCCAUAAUUUCAAACAAAGACAUGGAUGGAUAGAGCAUAACAAUAUCUCAAAAUCAUCCUUACUGAACAUGCUCAAAAGAGGCAUGGAUCACUCUGUAGCAACAUGAAUACAUGGCAUAAAAAUAACAUCAGGGAAAUGACUUAGAAGAAUUCAAAGUCCCUGAAAUCAGCAACAUCACUAGAGCUACUUUGCAUGCUUGUGCUAGUCACCACAAAGAUCACAAAAAUACAUGGCAUACACCCCUGUAAAGAUGACAUGGCAUAGCCCAAAACACAUGUAGGGCUCAAGUUCAUAGGAGGCACACAUUAAACAUGGCAAAAAUGACAAAUGUCCAUAAUCUGAUAAGAAUCAGAAACUAACAUUACAUAGCACUCUUGCAACAGCAUUUAGGGCAUCAAGAUGAGCUCAAAUGAACAUGGUGCAAUGGAAUUAAAUGAAGUGCACAUCCAGACGAACAAUUUGAUAUGCUACACGCCCAAAACGGAGCUAAAGAUGCAAAGUCAUGACAUGAUCAAAAUGCCUAAAAAUACUGAAAACUUAGGGAAAAAUGAGGUCAACCCUAGGGUUACUGUAGAAGAUCUGGAUUGGGCGUGUUGGACGAGGUUCGACGGGGCCUUCGCCGGAGUUGAGCAUGGAGGAGGAAGGAGAAGGCCGGAGUGGAGAUCCGGCGUCGCGGAGCUCGCCGGUGGGGGGGAGCCGGUGAGAGGCGGCGGCGGAGGUAUCCGGGCGGCGGGGCGGCGAAGCACUCGGUGGGCGGCGGCCGGAGCACCGGNNNNNNNNNNNNNNNNNNNNNNNNNNNNNNNNNNNNNNNNNNNNNNNNNNNNNNNNNNNNNNNNNNNNNNNNNNNNNNNNNNNNNNNNNNNNNNNNNNNNNNNNNNNNNNNNNNNNNNNNNNNNNNNNNNNNNNNNNNNNNNNNNNNNNNNNNNNNNNNNNNNNNNNNNNNNNNNNNNNNNNNNNNNNNNNNNNNNNNNNNNNNNNNNNNNNNNNNNNNNNNNNNNNNNNNNNNNNNNNNNNNNNNNNNNNGCCGGCGAGAUAGCGGAUCGGCGGCGGGGCGAAGGAGCGAGGCGGCGGAACGGACGGACUCCGCCCGGGUCGGGAGGGCCCCGCCUGGGCCCCGGCGGGCUGGCGCGCGAGCAGGAGCGGUGGUGUGGGCGCGGGGCGGCAGCGAAUCCGGGGAUGACACGUAGCGGCGGACGGCGGGAUUUUUGUCCGGCGGCGCCCGGACACGUCCGGCGGCGUGGAGGGGAGAGGAAGCUAGGGUUUCAUCCGGAUUUUGGAGAGGGUUGCACAUAUUUAUAGGUAGAGGGGGUUUGGAGUGUCCAAAUGAGAUGCGGUUUUGGCCACGCGAUUGUGAUCGAACGACCGAGAUGAUGGAGGGGGUUUAGGUGGGUUUUGGGCCACUUUGGAGAGGUGUUGGUCUGCAACACACACGAGGCCUUUACGGUUCCUCGGUUAACUGUUGGAGUAUCAAACGAAGUCCAAAUGGCACGAAACUUGACAGACGGUCUACCGGUAGUAUACCAAGGCCGCUUGGCAAGUCUCGGUCCAAUCCGAUAACGUUUAACACCCACACAUGAAAAGAGUCAAAAGGGGACAUCGGAGGACAUAGGAGCACCGGAAUGCAAAACGGACAACGGGGAAAAUGCUUGGAUGCAUGAGACGAACACGUAUGCAAAUGCGAUGCAGAUGAUGACAUGAUAUGAGAUGCAUGACAAACACAAAAAAACAAAAUGAAGACAAAACCCAACCACGAGGGAAUAUCAUAACUUAGUGCCGGAAAUGGCAAGAGUUAGAAUACAAAUAUGGCAAGUUACAUAUGGGGCGUCACACUCGAGCAGCUCCGUCUUGAAUAUGACGAAGUGGUAGAAGAGCGGUUGACCAACAAGGCAUGAAUAUCGUCCAUUCUUGCAUUGUUCUCUUGUUUUUGUUUGUCGAGCUUGUUGUCGAAGUAGUCUCUUGUACAUUGCUCGGAAUGUCGCAAGUUGGUGGCGAGAUUGUCAAUGCGGUUGCUCAAUGCUUGUUGUUCUUGGUGCAAAGCUCUUUGUGCGUCGAAGAGGUGGUUCUUGGUGACGUAAGUCUUUGGGUCCUCAUCUCGCUCGAUGAAGAGUGGGUUGGUAGAAGUAGUUGGCCUAUCCAUCAUUCCAAGCAAAUGUGAGAGUAGAAGAAAGGAAGAACAAUACCAAAUGUACCUUGGCCGAUGUUGAGAAUGGAUCAAACAUCACUCAAUGAUGUAGCAAGGAAAUAGCACAAUUGGUACCAUAUCUCGUCAAUCUCUCACACCUAUAGAAAUAAAGCCUUUGGUGUAGCUUGGUUAGGAUGGUGGCAUAAAAUUUAUGCAAUUGUUAGUGAGACUCAAUAAUGUUGAAAAAGAUCCGCAAAUUCGUAAAUGCAACAAGUAGACCAAUAGCAAGAUAUGGUACACGAAAACACACACAUGGAUAGAUAGAUGGGGUCGUGCAACCAAGGAAUGAGCCAAAAUUUGGAAUCCACGAAAGUGCUCUUGUUGCACAAUGCUAGAGAGACGCUAGCUCGAUUGCACAAUAGGCAGAUAUGAUACUUGUGCACAACUUGCUAAGAAAAAUGUAACGACUUCUAUCCCAAAUAUGCUAUAUGUAUGGUGUUCCAGUGAUAUGAUCCAAGAUGACCGAGUAUGACAAUCUUAAUGUAGUAUGAUGCUAUGGUUCUUGCUUAAAAGCUCUUUGCUUAUCUUUUCCUUUCGCUUAAAAUCUUGUUUGGCUCUUUCUCUUUUGAGCGCUUUCUUUGGCCUCUUAUGCAAAACUUCACAAACCAAGAUAGCAAUUGUGUAUAUGCGAUGACAACCUUGUGACACAAGAGAUGAUACCAAGAUAUGUAUACCGAUAUGAUAUGGUAUGUGCGCAAUGGGAGUUAUGAUCACUAAUGUGCAUAAGUAACAUUGCCGGCAGUACUCAAUGGCUAGUCUCGAUAGGAAAGGUACGCAAAAUGGGCUAUGGGGCUAUCAAUGCAAUGGCAAGGAGUAGACAAAGAUGUCGUCGAGGUUACCAUCCUUGCUUACCAUUGGGGGUGUCAAAAUGGUGGAGCGGUUGUUGUCGAUGACGAGUCCGUGGAGAAGAUGAGCGGUGGUGGUGUUGAUGUCGAACCGUCCCUAAGUUGCCGAAACACGUUAGGAAACAGAAACCACAACUCAAAUUCUCCAAGAACAAAACGUGUCAAAAUUGUCGGAGUUGGGAAAUGGGUAAGCUAUGGUGGUUGCGAAAAGCGGUGGUGGUAUGCAAGUGUGUAUGCGGAAGUGGUAGAGGAAUCAGGGAUUGCGUAUGCGGAAGUGAAAAUGGAGUGGCAAUGCGGAAGUGUGGGCGGUGGCUGAAAAUUUUCGGUCGAAAAUUCUAGUUUCGUCAGGAAACGUCGGACGUCCGGUGAUGGUCGGAUGACCAGUGGUUGUCGGACGUCCGGAGACUGUCGGACGUCCGGUGCCUGGGCGAUUUCGGGCAUGGGAUGAGCUUCUAGGGUUCGUGGUGGAGGGGCAAAAUUGGGUCAAAAUUGGACGAAUUUGUGGAUGGAAAUGUGGAAAAAGAUGGGGAAAAUAUAUAUCUACCUGCUACACACGAAAUCCACAGAUUAAAUCCAACAAAACUUCAUGACGCUAACAAAUCGCAAAAAAAUGGGGCUAUUUUUGGUGGGGAAUUUUUCAAAUUUGGGACAAAAUCAACAAAACAAGGGUAGGGGCUCCAGAUGCGUGAUCAACCAAGGCUUGUGAUACCAAGAUGAUGUAGGGUGGAAGCCCUAGGGAGGAUCUUUCAUGAUUGGAGCGGAUCCUACAAAGAACACGAGGGGAAACGCGAGGGUGAAACAAGAGGAAACACUCAAAUCAACGAUGAACGAUCACACAUGUGCUAGAUCCAUGAACAUAAAGAGUGAUACAAGAUUCAAACACAACAAAGGACAAUACCAAAGGUCUUCUCCGCGAGGAGGUCUUGAGGGGUCUUCCCGUGAUGGGGUCUUAAUCCACUUGGGGUAUCUUCUCCAUAGAGGUCGUGAACUCCGAUGGAGAAGGUAUCAAGUGGAUGAGCAAAGCUCUGUCUCUCAAAUGAGCUAAUCCUUUGCUAACCCUAAAAAGAGGGAGGAGGAGGAGGAGGAGUAUAUAUAGUCUAAGUGGACGAAGGGGUACAUGGGCCUCGGCCCAACACGCUGUCAACACACAGGCGUCGGACGUUCGACAGCUAUCGGUCGUCCGGUGGCUCGUGAGGGUCCGGUCAUCCGGUACUUGUCGGAAGUCCAACGUUUUCUCUCGGGAUGGUGGGCGUCGGAUGUCCGGGGCGUCAGUCGUAUGGUCAGUGCUGGUUGUCUGGCCACUGGAGCAUGCACGGGCUGGGACUUGGCUGGCUAGCUGGAGCUCCCAGGCGUCGGACGUCCGACAAGUACCGGUCGUCCAAUGGUUGUAGAUUCCUGGUAGCUCUUCCUCUUGGUCAUUGUACUUGGUGUCCUCGUCGUCUUGUCCGUUGGGUGUAGUUGUCCCGUGGCUUUCCUCCAAGUACCUGAUCACACAUAGGGUCUCUGCUUGAGGUAGUAGACAUGUCGCAUAUGUAGAAAGUGGUAGUUCAGAGAGGAGCGAGUUCACCUUAUCUUCGGUAGCCUUUGCUCGAGUUCUUGUCAUUGGUCCAAGUGGUGUCAUGGGAGACGUAAGUAGGUCCAUGGGGAUGACCACAGGAUGCUCUGCAUCAAAGUGCGUCUGCAAAGGGGUUCGUACAUCCGAUCUACCUCCCAUCCCAUAACUGGAUGCUUAUGAGUUGCACCGAAUGGAAAUAGCCAACGACAUUUGGACCGCGGCUUUGGUUACAGUGGAGCGAACUGACAAACCUGAACCUGUACCUGCACCUUCCAACAUUCAAAAACUUCUGUCUGAAUAUGAAGAUGUGUUCUCUGAACAAAAAGUGUUGCCUCCCAAACGGCAAUACGAUCACGCAAUCAACCUAGAGCCUGGCACAACACCUAUCAACACCAGGCCCUACCGCUACUCACCAAGACACAAGGGUGAAAUCAAAAAGCAAGUGUCGGAGAUGUUGCAAUCUGGGGUCAUCGCACAUACCCUGAGUCUGUAUGCCAUGCCGGUCCUGUUGGUCAAGAAGAAGGACGGCACUUGGCGAUUAUGUGUUGAUUUUCGGCGCCUUAACACAGCCACGGUCAAAAACAAGUUCCCCUUGCUGGUGGUGGACGAACUGCUCGACGAGAUGGGUGGAGCAGCAUAUUUCUCCAAGAUCGACCUACGCGCCAGCUAUCAUCAGAUCCGCAUGCAAGACGAAGAAGAAGAGAAGACGGGUUCCAAAACACACCAUGGCCAUUACUAAUUCAGGGUGAUGUCGUUCGGCCUCUGCAAUGCGCCACCCACAUUCCAGUGUGUAAUGAACUCGGUGUUCGCUCGCCACGUUUGCAAAUUCAUCAUCAUCUUCCUCGAUGUCAUUCUGGUCUUCAGUGUUGAUUUACAAGAACAUGAAGAACACUUGCGCACUGUCCUCGACCUCUUGUGGGCACACCAACUAUACGCCAAGGCCUCCAAAUGCUCGUUCACCCAGCAAAAGAUCGAGUAUUUGGACAUAUCAUCUCCAAGGAUAGCAUCACCACCGAUUCCAGCAAGACUAGUGCCAUGAGUGCCUGGCCCGUGCCCACGACGCCCACGGAGCUCCGUGGCUUCCUCAGCCUUACGGGCUACUACCGCAAGUUCAUGCCACACUACGGAAUUAUCGCGAAGCCCGUGACGCGCCUUCUGACAAAGAAAGGAUUCCUCUAGGACGACAAGGCCUAGACCAUGUUCGAGACGCUCAAGAAGGCGAUGGUGAGAAUGCCUGUGCUUGCACUCCCAGACUUCAAGCGCCCAUUCGCCAUCAAGACCGGCGCGUGCGACACUGGCGUGGGCACGGUGCUGGUUCAGGAUGACCAUGCCAUCGCGUACCUAAGCAAGGCGUUGGGUGUGCGGAGCCAAAAGCUCUCUGUGUAUGAGAAGGAGUUUCUCGCCGUGAUGAUGGCGAUCGACAAGGGGCGCCCUUACCUCCAGCAUGCAUCGUUUGAGAUCGUCACCAACCACAAUACCUUGUGUUCCUUGGGUGAUCAAUAGCUCGUCACGGAUCUUCAGCGCAAGGCCAUGUCCAAGAUGGUGGGCCUGCAGUUCACCUUCCGUUACAAGAAGGGUGCGGACAACGGCGUAGCCGGCACACUCUCCAGGGUGGGGCACCUACUGUCGCUGGACGCACUCUCGGUAAACCCGGGCAUGGGUAGCCCGGCCCGAAAAAACCCGGGUCGGGCUGGGUCGGGCUCGGACUUUGUUUUGCAGCCCAAAAGAUAGUUCGGGCCGGGCUUGGGCUUCAAUUUUUUUGUAUUUCGGGUCAGGCUUUCGAGCUUCGGGCUGGGCUUGCACGUGCGCGUACCAAAAAACAGCAUCCAGGCCGGGCUUUCGGGCUUCGGGCUUGAUUUCGGGCCGGGCUCGGGCUUGAAAACAAGGAGUAUUUUGGGCUUCAGGCCGGGCUCAGGCUUGAGAAAUGAAGGUCGGGCUUUUACAAGCCCGGCCCGAAACCCGGCCCGGCCCGACGUUUGCCUAGGUUUAGCUCUCGGUGUGCCAGCACCAGUGGUUGCAAGAGGUGGCAAAUUUAUACAAGACGGACACGGACGCACAAGAGCUUCUCACCAAGCUUUCCCUCUGCGACACCAAUGACCAAGGCCGCACUCUGCAGCAAGGAGUGAUCCGCCAACAAGGACGGCUGUGUAUCGGCGCCAACACCGUGCUCCAAACCAAGCUGAUCACUGCGACAGCACGGUCGGAGGACACUUAGGCGCCACCGCCACCUACCAGUGCGUACGCAAGCUCUUCGCCUGGCCUGGCUUGAAGCGCCGUUGAGGAUUUCGUCAAGCAAUGCAGCAUUUGCCAGCACGCGAAGCACAAGCAAACCCACCCUGCGGGCAAGCUCCAACCGCUUCCAAUCCGCAAGAGCCAUGUCAGGACAUAACCAUGGAUUUUGUAGAAGGGCUACCCAAGUCGGACGGCCAUGACACGAUCAUGGUGGUCGUCGAACGCCUCACCAAGUACGCUCAUUCUGUACCUCUCCGGCACCCUUUCACCGCCGCUCAAGUCGCAUGCGCCUUCUAGGACGACAUCAUCAGACUCCACGGUGUGCUGCACUCCAUCAUCUCCGACCGUGACAAGGUGUUCACCAGUGUGAUGUGGCGGGAAAUUCUUGCUGCCGCGAGCACCAAGCUGUUGUACUCCACGGCGUACCACCCCCAGACCGAUGGCUAGACAGAGCGCGUGAAUUAGUGCUUGGAGAUGUAUCUCCGAUGCCCCAUCCAUGACACCCCCAAGCAAUGGCACCGGUGGAUCUCCGUGGCGGAAUUCUAGUACAAUUCCUCACACCACGCCUCGCUCAAUGGCUCCCCUUUCAAGGCUCUGUAUGGGCGAGAACUUGGGGGGCCUUCCGCGGUCAGCACCACCAUUUCCGCAGACGUGCCCCUCGAUGAGAUUGAUUGCACGACCCACACCGAGCUGCUUCGCGCCCAGGCGCGCUUCAAGAAGCAGGCCGAUCGUCACCGCGCCCAGCGCCUUCGAUGUGGGCGAGCAAGUUCUCCUCAAGCUUCAAAUCUACGCGUAAUCCUCCAUCGCCAACCGCCCAUGCCGGAAGCUGGCAUACAAGUUCUUCGGCCCGUUCACCAUGAUGGAGCGCAUCGGCAACCUUGCGUACCGCCUGCAAUUACCCCAAAAUGCAUCCAUCCGGUCUUCCAUGUCUCCCGGCUCAAGUCGUUCGUCCCCGACUAUACACCAGUCUUCACUGAGCUGCCCAAGAUCCCAGACCUCACCGCCGCUGAGCGUGUUCUGGUGGCCAUCCUGGAUCGCCGCAUGAUGAAGAAGGGGAACACUCCGGUGGUACAAAUACAAGUGUAAUGGAACUCCAUGCCGCAAUCAGCUGCUACCUGGAAAGACUACACCGUCCUGUGGCAAAGCUACCCCGACGCACAUCUAUGGGGAGAUGAAGAAGUUGCUGCUCGAGAGGGGACAAAUGUCACGCCUGUAGAUCAAUCUACAGCGGACUGAAGAAAUGAAACUCAGAGUUCUGAACCUGCAACAGCAACGACCUGGUCAGCGGGGCCGGGUUGGGCCCACUGUCAGGGGAUUGAGUGUGUGUACCAGCUGUGGCUUGGCUUACUUGUAUGCGUGUGUGUGGACGCGGGGGCAUCGACAAUUGAAUGAACCUUUUCCUCCAUGUCGUCUAUCUCUCUCGCUCUCUCUCACCUACCCUUGUCCUUCUCCUCUCAUCUCUGAUCCCCUCCUAUCCUUCAGAUCUCACGAUCAGGACGUGACAUUCUACAAUAGUACCUUGCUCCAAAGUGGAUUUGAAUUUCAAUCGCUCCCUCCAGAUCCUCCCAAGGAGAGGGGCUCCUCACACACGAGACCAGUGCCCUGAAACCGCUGCACCAUUGCCACACCCUUCCUUCUUCCCCUUCCUUCUUCUCCUACCUCUCAUCCUCCCUAGAUCCUUCUCUGUCUCUCUUUUAUACCAGAAAAAUCAAAGCGUGCCGCCGCGCCGGAUCCAUCCUUCUCAUGUGCCCGCUGGAUCCCGCCGCUGCCGUUCUGCACCGAGCAGACCCGUCAUCCCUAGCCCCUCGAGCCGCCGCGUGAUACGUCUCCGUCGUAUCUAUAAUUUUUUAUUGUUCCAUGCCAAUAUUAUAAAACUUUCAUAUACUUUUGGCAACUUUUUAUACUAUUUUUGGGGACUAACAUAUUGAUCCAGUGCCCAGUGCCAGUUCCUGUUUGUUGCAUGUUUUUUGUUUUGCAGAAAAUCCAUAUCAAAUAGAGUCCAAACGGGAUAAAAAUUGACAGAGAUUUUUUUUGGAAUACAUGUGAUUUUUGGAAGAAGAAUCAACCCGAGGCGAUGCCCGAGGGGGGCACGAGGCAGGGGGCGCGCCCCUAGCCCUCGUGGCCACCCUGUAGGGUGGUUGGUGCCCUUCUUUCGCCGCAAGAAAGCCAAUAUCCGAAUAUAAAUCGUGUUAAAAUUUCAGCCCAAUCAGAGUUACGGAUCUCCGGGAAUAUAAGAAACGGUGAAAGGGCGGAAUCAGGGAACGCAGAAAGACAGAGAGACAGAGAGACAGAUCCAAUCUNNNNNNNNNNNNNNNNNNNNNNNNNNNNNNNNNNNNNNNNNNNNNNNNNNNNNNNNNNNNNNNNNNNNNNNNNNNNNNNNNNNNNNNNNNNNNNNNNNNNNNNNNNNNNNNNNNNNNNNNNNNNNNNNNNNNNNNNNNNNNNNNNNNNNNNNNNNNNNNNNNNNNNNNNNNNNNNNNNNNNNNNNNNNNNNNNNNNNNNNNNNNNNNNNNNNNNNNNNNNNNNNNNNNNNNNNNNNNNCUCCCAUCUAGGGAGAAGGUCAAGGAAGAAGAAGAAUAAGGGGGGCUCUCUCCCCCUCUCUCCCGGUGGUGCCGGAACGCCGCUGGGGCCAUCAUCGUGUGACGGCGAUCUACACCAACACCUCCGUCAUCUUCACCAACAUCUUCAUCACCUUCCCCCAUCUAUCAAAAGCGGUCCACUCUCCCGCAACCCGAUGUACCCUCUACUUGAACAUGGUGCUUUAUGUUUCAUAUUAUUAUCCAAUGAUGUGUUGCCAUCCUAUGAUGUCUAAGUAGAUUUUCGUUGUCCUAUCGGUAAUUGGUGAAUUGCUAUGAUUGGUUUAAUUUGCUUGUGGUUAUGUUGCUAUCCUUUGGUGCCCAUCAUAUGAGCGCGCGUGUGGAUCACACCAUGGGUUAGUUGUAUGUUGAUAGGACUAUGUAUUGGAGGGCAAGAGUGACAGAAGCUUCAACCUAGCAUAGAAAUUGAUGCAUACGGGAUUGAAGGGGGACCAAUAUAUCUUAAUGCUAUGGUUGGAUUUUACCUUAAUGAAUGUUAGUAGUUACGGAAGCUUGCUAAUAGUUCCAAUCAUAAGUGCAUAGAAUUCCAAGUCAGGGAUGACAUGCUAGAAGUGGCCUCUCCCACAUAAAACUUGCUAUCGGUCUAGUAAAGUAGUCAAUUGCUUAGGGACAAUUUCGCAACUCCUACCACCACUUUUCGACACUCGCUAUACUAACUUUAUUGGUUCUUUACCUAAAACAGCCCCUGGUUUUUAUUUACGUGCCCUUUAUAUUCUUGCAAACCUAUCCCGUUACACGUACAAAGUACUUCUAGUUUCAUACUUGUUCUAGGUAAAGCGAACAUUAAGCAUGCGUAGAGAUGUAUCGGUGGUCAAUAAAACUUGAGGGAAUAUUUGUUCUACCUUUAGGUCCUCGUUGGGUUCGACACUCUUACUUAACGAAAGAGGCUACAAUUGAUCCCCUAUACUUGUGGGUUAUCAAGACCUUUUUCUGGCGCCAUUGCCGGGGAGCAAUAGCGUGGGGUGAAUAUUCUCCUGUGUGCUUGUUUGCUUUAUCACUAAGUAAUUUUUAUUUUCUGUUCUAAGUUGUUCUCUAUCUUUAGUUAUGGAUAUGGAACACGAAAUACCAAAAAAUUUAGGUUUACUUGGUACUCAUGGAGAUGGGGAACCUCCUAAAACCCUCGAUGCUCAUUAUGUGAAAGAUAUUAUGCACUACUUUAAUAAUCCCGAGAAAACCCCAUUCAAUUAUGUAAUGGGAGACACGUUGGAUCAACGUGAAUACUUUAGGGAUUAUCGCUUGACUCAAAAAGGGAAAUUAUUAUGGGAUCAAAUUUAUAUGUUGCAUUGGUAUGCUCGGCAACUAUGCUUGAGAUAUGAUUAUACUUAUUGCUCAAGGAUAAAGGCUCCACACCUUCCCUUUUCAUGCAAUUUUAAUGAUAAUGAAACCUUAGCUUCUUAUGCUAAUGGUAUAUAUGAUUACUCUGAUGUGGAACAAAUAGAAGAAUUUGUUGCUUUUAAGGCUGCUUGUGAAAUUGAAUCUUUGUUUAAAGAGUUUGAAGAUUUUGAUGAUACAGUUUAUAGACCUGAAAAUUUAGCUAUCCUUAAAUAUUGCUAUGAUAAUUAUAAAUACAAUUAUGAUAUUGAUGAAUUUAUUGAGAAAGUCUCCACUGUCCGAGAAGAGACUAAUGUUUUGCAGGAGUCUAUGGAAGAAGGAAUUGAUGAAACUGUGGGCUCAUUGGAUGAAAAAGAUGAUGAGGAGAGCGAAGAACAAAAGGAGUAAGAGCGGAUUAGUUACAUGUGCCCACCUUCUAAUGAGAGUAACUCUUCAACUCAUACAUUGUUUAAUUUCCCUUCGUUCUUACCGAAGGACGAAUGCUAUGAUGAUUGUUAUGAUCCCGUUGAUUCUUUUGAAAUAUCCCUUUUUGAUGAUGCUUGCUAUGCUUGUGGCCAAGAUGCCAAUAUGAAUUAUGCUUAUGGAGAUGAACUUGCUAUAGUUCCUUAUGUUAAACAUGGAAUUGUUGCUAUUGCACCCACGCAUGAUAGUGCUAUUAUCUUUUUGAAUUCUCCCGACUACAGUAUAUCGGAGAAGUUUGCCCUUAUUAAGGAUUAUAUUGAUGGGUUGCGUUUUACUACUAGACAUGAUGAUUUUGAUAGAUAUAAUAUGCAUGUACUUGCUGACCCUACUUGCAAUUAUUAUGAGAGAGGAACUACAUCUCUGCCUCUCCAUGUUUCCAAUAUAAUAAAAUUGCAAGAAACUGUUUAUACUAUGCAUUGGCCUUUACUAUGUGUGCAUGAAUUGUUCUUUUAUGACAUGCCGAUGCAUAGGAAGAGAGUUAGACUUCAUUGCAUGAUAUAUGUUACUUUUUGCUCACUACUAAAUCAAAAAUCAUUGUUAAUUAAAAUUGGCUUUGAUAUACCUUGGGAUCCGGGUGGAUCCAUUACUUGAGCACUAUAUGCCUAGCUUAAUGGCUUUAAAGAAAGCACUGCCAGGGAGACAACCCGGAAGUUUUAGAGAGUCAUUUAU
RNAcentral lists this long non-coding RNA (64452 nucleotides) under Triticum aestivum (bread wheat). Its description in RNAcentral is "long non-coding RNA (TAES_LNC010271)". The record is from RNAcentral. Lineage: Eukaryota; Viridiplantae; Streptophyta; Magnoliopsida; Poales; Poaceae.